RNAcentral lists this long non-coding RNA (62898 nucleotides) under Malus domestica (apple). The record is from RNAcentral. Lineage: Eukaryota; Viridiplantae; Streptophyta; Magnoliopsida; Rosales; Rosaceae.
GGGCACUGAAAUUUGGGUUGGUGCACUCUGAUCCAUUAUAUCUGUUUGUUCUUCUGCUUCAGUUUUCACUCCCACCUGCGAUGAACAUAGGUACGCUUGCUUUUCUGUUGUUUAGCAACAAAAAGUGCAACCAGCAGUUGCUCGCUUGGCCGCUUACUCACUCUUUUUCGUAACAAAUGUAAGUUUAUUCUCAAGUAUUGUUUAUUCAUCCUUUAAAAUAUGGCAGGAAUAAUGACGCAGUUAUUUGGAGCAGGAGAGAAUGAAUGUUCCGUUAUCAUGCUGUGGACUUAUGCUUUCGCUUCACUGUCACUUACAUUCUGGUCCGCCGCCUUCAUGUGGCUUGUGGCGCGACUGUGAAUCAAAAUUUACAUGAAUUCUGUCUAAUACAAGUGUAGGUAGUUUGUCAGAAGAAAUAUUACGAAGCUCCAACCCGAGUCCGCCGGGAAUUAGGAAGCUCUCAGUUCAGUUCCUUCCCGUCAUCGGAUUGAACAUGCAGAGCCAGCGUUCGACUCCACAGGCUACCCAGAUGACGCAUCUAGUGGUUUGUGGCUACGAUUUGGUCAGAGAAGUAAAAAUGGUGGUGACUGGUUCUCGGUGGUUUAGAGAGAAGGGCAGAGGAGUGUAAACGUAAGUAAAUCUAUGAAAUUGUAUACAGAAGGUUUAGAGAGAGAAUAGCUCAGAGAAGAGAGAGAGAGAGAGAGAGAGAGAGAGAAUGAAAGUUCUUGAUAUAUUUCUUGAUCACUAAGUAAUACAGAUGUUGAGAUAUUUAGACACUUUCAAUACCAAAGCUAACUGCCUUAACAGAACUUUUAAUCUAAUUACAAUUGUCAACAUCCUAUACAUUAACUUCUAUACUCUAUCAUCCCUCCGCAAACUCAUGCUUUGAUGAACGAAGCAUGAGAUUGUUACAGUGAGUAUGAAACAAAGGAGAACUCAAGCCUUUAGUCAGAAUGUCAGCAAACUGCUCUUUGGAGGAGACAAACUGAACAAGGAGCUAUUUCUUUGCAACCCUUUCCCUCACAAAAAUGAACAUCAAUCUCAAUGUGCUUAGUGCGUUGAUGUUGAACUGGAUUAAAAGACAAAGCAAUCGCGGACAAAUUAUCACAGAAUAAAACAGGUGGAGAAGGUGAAGGAACCUUCAAAAAUGCUAAUAGUUGUUGGAUCCAUUCCAAUUCAGCAGAGGUGGAUGACAAAGCUCGGUAUUCAACCUCUGUGGAGGAUCGUGAUACUAUCAAUUGCUUCUUAGAAGACCAAAAAAUAGGAUUAUGCCCUAAAAACACAACCAAAGCAGUAGUAGACCGUCGGUCAUUAGGGUCUCUUGCCCAGUCAGCAUCACUAAAAGCCUUUAAUUGAAGGGAUCCUCUGGAAUAACAGAUGCCUUGAUGUAGGGUGCCCUUUAAGUACCGCAAAAUUCGUUUGACUGCUGUAAAGUGAGCAACCAUAGGUGUUUGCAUAAACUGACACACUUGGUGGACUGAGAAGGCUAUAUCAGGACGUGUAAAUGUGAGGUACUGCAAAGCACCUACGACACUUCUGUACAAAGUCGGGUUGGGAUAAGGAUCACCAUCAUCCUUGAGAAGACGGUUGUAGGGCAAGCAAGGAGUGUCACAGGGUUUUGAAUCAACCAUUUCUGUUUUGGUGAGAAGAUCCAACAUAUAUUUUGACUGAGACAAGAAUAAACCAGUUGUAGUUCUUGAAAUCUAAAUACCCAGAAAGAAAUGCAAAUCCCAUAAAUCCUUGAUGUCAAACUCAGUUGUUAAUGCAGUAAUAACAUGUUGUAUAUUUGCAGAUGCACUCCCUAUGAUGAUAAUAUCAUCCACAUAGAGUAAGAGAAUGACAAUACCAGAAUCAACCUUUUUAACAAAGAGAUGAAUCAAUAUAGGUGUUUUGAAGGCCCAAUUGAGGCAAAAACUUUGUGAAUCGAUCAUUCCAAGCUCUGGGAGCUUGCUUGAGCCCAUAUAGAGAUUUAUGUAGCUUGCAAACUAGAGUAGGAUGAUUAACAUCUGCAAAACCGGGAGGCUGAGCCAUGUACACUUCUUCUUCUAUAAUGCCUUGUAAAAAGAUAUUUUUGACAUCUAAUUGCCUGAGAGACCAACAAAACUGAGCUGCAAGAGCCAAUACUAACCGAACAGUUGUAGGUUUAACUACAAGGCUAAAUGUUUCCCCAUAGUCAAUUCCAGGUUUUUGACUGAACCCUUUAGCUACUAAUCUAGCUUUAUGUCUUGCAAUAGUACCAUCAGAAUGUCUCUUGAUCUUGAAUACCCACUUACACCCCACCAAGUUCUUUGUAGCAGGUAAUACCACUAGACUCCAGGUACCUUGUUUAUGCAAAGCACUAACUUCCUCUUGCAUAGCUUUAAAACAAAUUGGAUCCUUAAGUGCAGAUUUGUAGGAAGUUGGUUCAAUGAGAGAUAAAUCAGUACCCUCAUACUCCUGAACUGUAGCUAACAAAGCUCGUUUCUUAAUAAUACCACUCUUGCUUCGAGUUUACAUAGGAUGCAAAUUAAAUGGGGGAACCUCCAACACCACUUGCAAAGUAUCAAGACCAAAUGGUUCUUCUGGUGAAGCAUCAGAACGAUUGACAAUUGCCACAGGGACUUGAGGACUAGAAGGGGAAGAGCCAGUAAUGGACUAAGAGGACAGUGGUGAUGAAGGAAUAGGAAAUAGUGGUAUGGGAGGAUUAUCAGGUAAAAAUGAAGAUUCAUAGAAGGAAUGAGAUGAUAGGGAUAUGGAAGAGGAAUGAGAAGUAGGUACAGGCACCACAACAUUAUCAUUGGAAAUUACAGGUGCAGGAUGAUAUGAACUGUGAUUAACAGGAGGUAGAGAUGAUGUUUUAUUGUGGACCAACAAGUCUUUGUAAGGAAAUUAAGACUCAUCAAAUACCACAUGCCUAGAGAUAUAAAUUCUCUGUGUAGAAACCUCAUAACAUAUAUAACCUUUAUAACCUUUAUAUUUGGUAGCAUACCCCAGAAAAAUACAUUUGGUGGUUUUGGCUUGUAAUUUAGUGUCAUUAUAAAGCUUUAACAAUGGAUAACAAGCACAUCCAAAUAUUCGAAGAUGGGAAAGAACAGGAAUAUGGCCAAACAAGAGUUCAAAAGGAGAUUUAUAUCGAAGCACAUAAGUAGGCAUUCUAUUAAUGAGGUAUAUAGCUGUUUGACAUGCAUAAGACCAAAAACUUGCAAGUAACUGAGCUGCUUGUAACAGGGUCACAGUAGUUUCAAUAAUAUGCAUAUGCUUGCGCUCAGCUAAAUCAUUUUGCUCGAGUGUGUAUGGGCAAGAAAUCUAAUGGGUAAUGCCUUUGUCUAGAAGGAAUGACUGAAAUGCCUUACUCAUAUACUCUCCCCCCCAUCACUUUGUAGGAUUUGUAUAGUGGUUGUAAACUGAGUAAGAACAAAAGAAUAGAAGGAAACAAAGGUAGCAAAGACAUCAAAUUUAUUUAUCAAUGGAAAUAGCCAAUAGUGUCUUGUACAUUCGUCAAUAAAGGUCACAUAAUAUCGAUAACCAUCAAUGGAAACAGAAGGAGCUGGACCCCAAAGAUCAAUGUGAACAACAACAAAGGGUUUUACAGCCUUAUUGGUACUUAGGGAAAAUGGAAGUUUACAAAACUUGCCCUCCAAACAACUAGAGCACAUUACAGGUAAAGAAGGUUUUGAACAAGGGAUAUUAGCUUGUUUUAACAUCACAACAACAAUGUUAUUAGAUGGAUGACCUAGUUUAUUGUGCCAAGUAGAAGAAUGAAUAUGCUGACCAAGGAAUGCUUUAGCUUGAAUUGAACCAGAAUGUGUGGCAUGAGAGGGUGCAAAAAGGCAAGAGAUGGGAUAAAGUCCAUUAUUGCACAUUCCUUUGUAAAUGAUCUUCCAUGUGGCCUUGUCCUGAAUCCAGAAACAAAAGGCAUAAAAAAUGAGUCAGCAAUUAUUAUCUAAACAAAUUCGAUGCACAGAGAGCAAGUUGUGUGUCAACUUAGGAACAAGAAGUACAUAGUUGAGCUUAAUCGGAUGCACAUAAUUCAGUUUAGAAACAUUCAGAACUGUACUACCAAUAUGAGACACAGGAAAACCUUCACUAUUGGCAAUUUGAAUGGUCUCAGAGGUAGGAUAUGGAGAUGCCAGAGAUAGAUUACUGAGAUCUGCAGUCAUGUGAUUAGUAGCUCCAGAGUCCGUGAGCCACACUUGAGGACUAGAAUAAGAAGUUGAAGGUAUAAAAGAUGGCUGAGUCAUCGUAGUAUGUAAAGCUUGUGGAGAUUGUUGCUGAGAAGAAAAAAUGUUAAGACUGCAUUGAUGAAUGUUGAAAUGAAGCAUUAUAAUGUAGAGCACCAUAUGUGGAGGAUUGCCCUGGAGAAGGAUAGAACUGUCAAAUAGAACCUCCAAAAUUAGGACCCUUGUCAUUGUAAAAACAGUACCAUGUGCUAUGAUUGUGCUUGCCACAAAUUUGACAUUUGUCUCUAUCCGGAGGUUUAGACUGAUAGAAAUGAGUUGUGUGUCCUUCAGCAUUACAGAUUUGACAAGUAGGCAUCAAUGAGGCACUUAGAUUACCAAAAUAUUGGACUGGAGGUUGACCAAGUAUGCCUGGAUAUGGUUUAGGGAGCACAUGGGUUUAAGUAGACUGUUUGGGGGAAUAAAACCGAGCCCCUUGAUUAAAUCGACAUUUGCCUUUGUUUUUAUUCCCAUUGAACUGUUUAUAGCCCCCAGGAAAAAAUUGAGAUUGUCCAUAUGCAUUAGAAGAUUGACCCCUUGCAGAAGGAGAUACAUUAUUGGCAACCAUUGCAGUAAUAAAAGGGUGUAGUUGUAGAAUGGUCAACAGUUAUCUCUUCAGCAAGCAACUGAGAUUGAAACUCUUUAAGUGAGAUCACAUUCUCAUGACCUCGAAUAACACACCGAAAUGUGUUGUAUUCAGAAGGGAACCCAUUGAGAGCAAGGAUAACUAUGUCCUCAUUAGCAAAAUAAACCCCUGCAGUAGCUAAGUAAUCUCUAGCUUCUUUAAUGCGAUGAAGAUACUGAGACACAGAACCAGAACCUUUCUUAAUUGUCUGAAGAUUGGACUUCAUUUGAAAAGUACUAGUCUUAGACACGGUGGAGAUGUGAAAUCUCGUUCUUGGAUUUCACUGUUAUAAUAUACAUAAUUGUAUUAUUGAGAUAUUAUGUUAUUUUUGAGAAAUUAUAUUAAUUUAUUUGGAUUUAGAUUUUAAUUAAAUUAGUUACGAAGUUUGAAUCAAGGUCAUAAUUUAUAUUGUUGAAUAGAUAUCGAGAUCACGAACGCAUAGGUGAAAGCUGUUUGUGAGUCCGGAUUAUAACGGUAUAGUUACGGACGUUUGAAAUUCUUGCUCCAAAAAAAAAUAUGAAAAGAGAAGAAAAAGCCACGGGAGUGGCUGAAAGAAAAUAAUAAAGGAGAAAAGAAAGCCACGGGAGUGGUGAGAGAAAAAGGGAAGCCCAGCCUUCCUUUGCACCCGUGCACCUGUGCACCAACCCAACUCCAUUUCCGGCGGUCUCCGCCAUUCUUUCCGUCGAUUCUGAUAAGAUUAAAAGCACACCACAAAGUAGCACACAAAUGUCCUAUUGAUUUUCCUUAUUAACAAUAAUAUUUGUCAAUUGUAGCAUAUGAAAAUAAGGGUCUUUCCCGCAGAAGAUUGUUUUAUCUAACUAUUUAAAAUGUCACAAAAACUGGUUGCUGUCCUUACUGACCAGCCAUCGAAAACUAAUUAUUAGACCAACUUACACUUAUCUCAAGUCUACGAAAUUUUAUAUGAAGAUACUAGACACAUAAAACUACACUUACACCAAUGUUUGGGAUUUUUGGAGUUGAUUUGCUAUUUAAAUUAAAUCGAACAAAAACAGGACAGAAAUAGAUUUUAGGUAGUUCACAAAUUAAGAAAAACGAGUUAGGGGUAUUGCUAUCCACCACCAAAUAAUCAUGCAAACAUGUUAUAUUUCAUUCAGAUUUCUUUUAUUUCCGAAUGAAGAUGCUCAAGUUUGCUCAAUGUUAGAACUCAACCUAUUACUCUUUCUUACGUAGUAUGUUAAGAGAAUGGCGUUUUCAAGUUAACUUAGUUCCUAGCAUACAAUUUAGAAUGUCAUGUUCAUAGCAUUAGAAUCCUAGAUAUUCAUAGCAUUAGAAUCCUAGAUAUGCUUACUAAGUAUGCAUCCAUAGAAAACAAAUAAAGAAUUCAUCAAUGAGACAAGUAGUGAACCAAUUUUCAUCCAUUCAUAAAAGUAAUUCAAACGAAAUGUCAUAACAAACUUGCAAUCAUAUUCGGAGCUUCAAAAAAGCCCCUAACUUCUAAAAAUUUAGUUACAUAGUUCUCAAAGUAAACCAAAAGAAAGACAUGAGUUUGAGAAGAUAAAACCGAAAGAAGAGAAUGCCAAGAUUUCCUCCUUCAUUUCCUUCCUUCCCCAACGCAGCUGCCUUGUCCUCUUUCUCCUUCCUUUCCUUCUUCUUUUUUUCUAUCUUUUUUUCCUCUAAAAGAACACACUUUUUCCGCUGCAACCUGCAGCCUUUAUGCCCAUGCUUGCUGCCCCAUUUCUGCUCCAUAACUCACCCCACUAACAGCCAUUUAGUGAUGACAAUAAGUGAGAGGAAAUGGUAAAACAAUUGUAACUCUUUGGGCAACCUUUAUGCCAAUUACUCCCACUUAAUCCUCAUCUUUAAUUCCAUUUCAUCUGAUAUUUGAAUAGGUGUCAGCUGGCUUGUUCUUGGCUGCAUCAGUUUUGGCUGCUAGUUUUAUUGGAUUUAUUGCCUUCAAUGCAGUUACAAACUGCUCAGCGUCUUGGAAACCUUUCAGUGUUAAAACGGCCAUAACUUCUUCUAGAAAAAUGAUAUUAACAAUCCGCGAAAUGCUCCAGAAAAUAGAUAUCCGUAGCUUUCCAAGAAUAUAAGGCUCAUUCUCUAAUUCAUUCUGAGAUAUUCGCAACUUGCUUCCAAAGUCAGCUGAUCUGCACAGGCAGUUUUGACGAAUUUGUUACUUAAAAUUCCACUUGUGCUAUUUUUCUUUUAUUUGCUUGACAAAUCCCACAAAACACAAAAACAAUGUAAAUAGCUCAAAAAUAUAAGGAACUAACUAAAAAAAGACAAGUGUAUUUGAUGUAAAAUAUAUAUAAAUAUGAGCUUAUCAGAUUCAUCACCAUCCAUCGCCUACAACCUCUUCCUCAACCUUCCCUCUACCAUCUCCACCCAUAUUUGAGAAUAUUUACACUACUACAAUAUUAGCUUUAGGUGGCGGAUGAUGGUGGUGGAUAUUAGAAAAUAUUGUCAGAUAAAUUAUAUCCGACAUAUCAUUUAAUUACUGGCGGAUAUUAGAAAAAUACUGUCGGAAAUAUCCGCCAUAAAUUCCUGGCGGAUAUUUACUGGCGGAUGUCAAGAAAAUACUAGCGGAUAUUUACUGUCGGUCUUUUUGAAUUUUUUUAAAAAUAUUUUUUUUACAUAUUCUGGCGGUUUUUAUUUUAGUAUUCUGGCGGUUAUUAUUUUAGUAUUCUGGCGGUUAUAACCGACAUAAAUGAAAAUGUUAUUAUUUUAAAAUGUUAUAUUGAUUAAAAAUAAAUAAAUAAACACAUAUUUUAAUUUUUUUUUUCACUCAUGAUCCUAAAGUCUAAUGAACCCAAUUCCCACAAGCCAUAAAUUUUCCGAGAGAAUAAUAACAACAAACUACAAUCUAAGGCUCUAUCAUUUUUGUAAAAAGGAUUAUGCUCCCUCACAGGCAAGCAACAAGAUACAAAGAAAUUUAAACAAUUUUUUCCAAUGCGUCACAAUGCACAUUGUCUGGCACAUAAACACACAUGAACAUCUGAUGUACUUUAUCAUGUCAGAUUUUACUAUUUUAAAAUGUUAUAUUGAUAAAAAAUAAAUAAACAUAUGUUUUAAAUAUUAUAUUGUUUGCAAUUUUUUACACAUGCUAUCUCAUAGUAUAUAUGAACAUAUUUGACGGUUGGAUUGUUGAAACUAGUUUUGUUGAAUGCAUAUCCUAUCAAAUUGAUAGAUUUAACAAACACUUAAGAGUUAAUGUUAUACUUCCAUUAAGUAUAAAAUAAGAUUUAUCCACUAGUGUAAAUAUUUUAAAUUGAAGAUCGAAUUCAUUCAUUGCAUUCUUAUAGGGUCGAGGAGUGUAGCUGUAAAAAAAUCAUUAAAAUCGAAGCUAAAAUAACCGUUAAAUUGUGAUUUUUCGUUUACAACCGUCGAAAACUUUUGUUUCAUUAUGUAAUCUGUGAAUGUUUGUUUUUUAUGAUUUUUUACGUAUGCAAUCUUGGAGUGUGUAAAAAUAAGUCUUAUAAUUAAUGUUAUACUUCCAUUAAGUAUAAAAUAAGAUUUAUCCACUAGUGUAAAUAUUUUAAAUUGAAGAUCGAAUUCAUUCAAUGCAUUCUUAUAGGGUCGAGGAGUGUAGCUGUAAAAAAUCAUCAAAAUCGGAGCUAAAAUAACCGUUAAAUUGUGAUUUUUCGUUUAUAACCGUCGAAAACUUUUGUUUUGUUACCUAAUCUCUGAACGUUCGUUUUUUGUGAUUUUUUACAUAUGUGAUCUCGGAGUAUGUACAAACAAGUUUGACGGUUAGAUCAUUGAAAAACGUUCCGUAGAAUGUGUAUCGCGUCAAAAUGGUAGAUUAAAUAAACACUUAAAAGUUAAUGUUAUACUUCCAUUAGUGUAAAUAUUUUAAAUUGAAGAUCAAAUUCAUUCAUUACAUUCUUAUAGGGUCGAGGAGUGUAGCUGUAAAAAAUCAUUAAAAUCAGAGCUAAAAUAACCGUUCAAUUGUGAUUUUUCGUUUAUAACCGUCGAAAACGUUUGUUCUGUUACGUAAUCUGUGAAUGUUUGUUUUUUACGAUUUUUUAUGUAUGCAAUCUUGGAGUGUGUACAAAUAAGUUUAACGGUUCGAUCGUUGAAAAACGCUUCGUAGAAUGUGUAUCGUGUCAAAACGGUAAAUUAAAUAAACACUUAAGAGUUAAUGUUGUACUUCUAUCAAGUAUAAAGUAAGACGUGUGGUAUCCACCAGUGUAAAUAUUUUAAAUUGAAGAUCAAAUUUGUUCAAUGCAUUCUUAUAGGGUCGAGGAGUGUAGCUUUAAAAAAUCAUCAAAAUCGGAGCUAAAAUAACCGUUAAAUUGUGAUUUUUCGUUUAUAACCGUCGAAAACUUUUGUUCCGUUACGUAAUCUUUGAAUGUUUGUUUUUUACAAUUUUUUACGUAUGCAAUCUCGGAGUGUACACAAAUAAGUUUGACAGUUGGAUCGUUGAAAAAAGUUUUGUAGAAUUCAUAGCGCGUCAAAACGAUAGAUUAAACAAACACUUAGAGUUAAUAUUAUACUUCCAUCAAGUAUAAAGUAAGACUUGUGGUAUCCACCAGUGUAAAUAUUUUAAAUUAAAGAUCGAAUUCAUUCAAUGCAUUCUUAUAGGGCCGUGGAGUGUAGCUGUAAAAAAUCAUCAAAAUCGGAGCUAAAAUAACUGUUAAAUUGUGAUUUUUCGUUAAUAACCGUCGAAAUUUUUUAUUCUGUUACCUAAUCUCUGAAUGUUUGUUUUUUGUGAUUUUUUAUGUGUGCGAUCUCGAAGUGUGUAUCAACAAGUUUGACGGUUGAUCAUUGAAAAAAGUUUCGUAGAAUGUGUAUCGCGUCAAAAUAGUAGAUUAAAUAAACACUUAAGAAUUAAUGUUAUACUUCUAUUAAGUAUAAAAUAAAAUUUUGUGGUAUCCACUAGUGUAAAUAUUUUAAAUUGAAGAUCAAAUUUAUUAAUUGCAUUCUUAUAGGGUCAAUGUAUGUAGCUGUAAAAAAAUCAUUAAAAUUAGAGCUAAAAUAACCGUUAAAUUGUGAUCUUUCGUUUAUAACCGUCGAAAACUUUUGUUCUGUUACGUAAUAUUUGAAUGUUUGUUUUUUACGAUUUUUUACGUAUGCGAUCUUGUAGUAUCUACAAACAAGUUUGGCGGUUCGAUCAUUGAAAAACGUUUCAUAGAAUGCAUAUCUCUGUUAAAUUUGCCUAAAUUUUUAAGUGAGAAUAGUAAUUUGUGUUAAAUUUUUAUUUAUGUUUUUCAAGUAUUGAUUAGACAAUAUUUAGUUUGUGUGAUGACAUUUUCAUUGUACAAUUAUCUUUUUGUUUCUAUAUUGCAUAUUUUACAAGGGUUAUUAUCUAUUAAACAAAACAAUUAUUUAUUUAAUUUUUAAAAAUGUAUUCUAUUUAAAUACAUAUUAUUUAUUUAUUUAUUAAACUAAACAAUUAUUAUUUUAUUUUUUAAAAUCGUAACAAAAAUUGGGGGGGGGGAUACAAAUUUUGGGAGGGAAUUUAAAAUUUUGGGAGGGGGGAUACAAAUUUUGGGAGGGGCGGAUUUUGCCGCCUUUUUCAUUACUGUCGGUUAUAACCGAUAGUAAUGAAAAAGUUUCUGUCGGUUUUAUAUUUAAAAAAAAUUUCUGUCGGUUUUAACCGACAGUAAUGAAAUUUUCCAGAAUAAAAUCUCUUGCUCCCGUGCCCUUCCCCGUUCCUUCCCUCAUUUCCUUCUCAUACUCUUAUCUUUUCAUUUACUGUCCGCAUCUCCAGUCUCCUUUUUCAUCACAACAGAGUCAAGAAAAUGUUCGGGGUCGUCUUCUCGAAUCGCAGCUUCCCACUGAACAUCUCCUCCUUCUCCCAAAUUGACACCUUCCAUUGGAUUCUCUCUCUCUCUCUCUCUCUCUCUCUCUCUCUCUCUGAGAAUUGAUGACAAUUUUUUGUAACAUUAAAUUCAUUAUAACUGAUAUAUUUCUUACUUUUUUUUGGACCGGAAAACUGUCAUCUUAGGUGCAGUGUUUUCAUCAAGCAUUAGCCUUUCCAGUAUGGUUCCAGCAAAGGAGAAACAUAAUGAAGGUAACAAGGAACCACUUAGAGCUGUGGUACAAAGGCAUUUUAGAGCUCUUGUAUCGCAACUGGUACAAGGUGAAGGUGUCCAAGGCGAAGCCAAUCAGUUCAACAAGAAACCAGUGAAAACCCUGAUGUUUUUCGAAGGGUGUCCAAGGCGUUUUCGCUGCACAGUAAUGUUUUCCAUAUACAGCUUUUUGUUAUUUCUUUUACAAUUCGAGUUUCUGCUGUUUGUUUAAUUGUGCUCACUGCAAAUUAUUCAUAUUCUACAUUCUGAUAAAGCAUACAAGGUUUUUAAAGCUUGGUUGGGUGAUCUCUUAUCUUGUCAGUUUCUGCUGAAAGGUGCUUGUGUUGAAGAACUAAAGAAGAUUAAGCAUGUUGUUCAGUAUUGCAUAUUUGCUAUUAUCUGUUCGGCCGCGUUUAAUGCCAAUUUUGAUGCUCCAACAUAUAAGGUCAAUGCACUUGCCUCAACCGUUCCACAAGCGGACUAUCUGUGGAGGAUUAUUGUGAUGGUAGGAGCAAUCCCAGCUACACUGACUUACUACUGGCGCAUGAAGAUGCCUGAAACUGCCCGUUACACCGCCCUUGUUGCAAAGAAUGCGAAACAGGCUGCAUCCGACAUGUCAAAGGUUCUGCAGGUAGAAAUUGAAGCAGAAUCCCAGAAGGCUGAGCCGACUGCUAAUGCAUUUGCUUUGUUCCCCAAGGAGUUUAUGCACCGUCAUGGCCAAGACGACUUUGAGACACAUCAGUAUAAUUUUUUUUAUUAUUAAUAUAUUUUCUGUCGGUUUUAUCUGACAAGAAUGCUUUAUUUAUUCCUAAUUAAUAUAUUUUCUGUCGGUUUUAACCGACAUAGAAUGCUCUAAUUUAUUCUUUAUUAAUAUAUUCUUUGUCGGUUUUAUCCGACACAAUUUCUGUCGGUUUUAGAGUAUUUUCUGUCGGAAAAUUCAUUUCCUGACGCAAGCAAUUCUGUCGCUUAUUAUAUCCGCCACUGCACCCAUUUUCUGUCGGAUUUUGCUUAAUUUCCGACAAUAUUAUAUGUUUCUUGUCGGUUUUUAAACCGACACUAAUGGGUACUUUUGUAGUACUGUUAGGCCCAAUUUCAUGAAGAACUUCAUCGGGUUCGUGGGUGAGUUCGACGGUGAUUCCAUCGUUUCGGCGACUUGCACCACUUACUACUACCCUUAAUCAACUUCCCUUGGACCCAAGAACAAGACCCAACUGGUGGUUGGAGCGUUGGAACACCAAGGAAGCCAAAUUGAAGAACACCCACCUUAGGGUUUCGAUGGGUGCGAGCCAAUUUGAGGGCCUGCCUGGCCAAAUUGGACUUGGUCACAGGUAUAAGUUUACUCUACUUGUUGAGACCUUCAUUCUUGUAAAAUUUGAGAAUUUUUGAAAAAAGUCAACUUUUCCGAUGUGUGACAUUAGAUUUAUGAAAUACUUCUUUCGUUACCAAGCAUCUAGACCUAGAAGGGAAUUAUAGUUGAAAUGACAUCCUUGUUAAUCUUGUGCUUAUUUGAGUGUGUUUGGUUGGGGUUUAAGAGUUUAAGUAGUUAUAUUCAAGUUAUUAGUAAACGAUCGAGUUUCUCUUAAUAUAUAUAUAUAUAUAUAGCCACAUAUACAUGUCAAAAGGGGUAGUGGCAUGAGUGAAGAGGUGGUGUUUUAAGUUGAAAAGCCAUUAACUUUGGGUUGGUUUAUUAAAAGAUGGAGAAUGAAGGCUACAAGCAUAGGAAUAGAACGUUAAAAUGUUGAUUUCAUGGAUGAGAAAUAAUAUGUAUGGUUACUAGUAUAAAAAGGGUGAGUGACUUUAAUAUAUGUGUUAUAGGUGAUUACUCUAUUUUCAUAAUUAUUAUCCUGAGAGGGUAUGAAACGGUUUUAUGAUUAUGUUUCCUAUAAAGUGCCAUCGUUAUAGUUUAUGAUGUGGGAUUUGACGUGCAUAUUAGAAACAUGGUUUUCUUUGUAUGGCUGGCUUGAUGUGAUGAAAUGUGAGGACUAGUGGUGGACUGUGAACCCAUUGUGAUUGGGGAUUUGUUGCUUCGAUAUUGUUUCUUUUCCCUCUUCGUUGAUUCGUUUUAAAUUUAGCAUAUGUGCCUUAUUUCCCUUGGUUAUGCUUUUGUAAAUUUAGUAGCUUGUGCUUGUCUCAUUUCUUUGAGCCGUUGUACAUUAUAGUUGUUGGUCUUCCGCGAUUCCGUUGAGUGAUGUUCCAAAAUCGUAUCCACUUGGAUUCCGUGAGAGAUGGUCCAGAAUCCCUUCUACUCCGCAAUUUCGUUGAGUGAAGUUCUGGAAUCGUAUUCACCUUGGGUUUCAUUGAGUUUGGAUUGAGAUAGCUUCAAAGGUAUAGGCUUCGACCGAACUAUGUCGCUCUAACCCUACUUUUCAUGGUGUUGUAUGAGAAUAUGGUUGUGAGAUGUUGUGAUUGUUUCAGACGAAACGUUGGAUGUCUGGGUGACUCCUUCGGAGUUUGCGAAGGUUUGGUAUUAAUUUCUUAUGAAUGAUUCAUAUUCAAAGUUUAUAAAUUGUGAUUGAUGGUUGGUUUUAUCACUAUUAUCACACUUUGUAUUAUUGUCGCUCACCUGAGCUUCACAACUUAUCCAAGUUUUGAAUUGCCCAGUGCACCAUUUCCAUGAUGUAGGCACUGAUUUUAUAUGCAACAGGUCUGGAUAGAUUACAAGAAACCAAUUGAUAUUUUGGUUCGUUGAGUGGUUCGGAAUCCUUACUCUUGCACAUUCCAAAAGGUUAGUCUAGAACCCUAGAUUCGAGCGAAUGAGAAUUAUCCAUAGACCUUGUGAAUAUAAAUUAGAAUUACCAUGUUAUUACUCAUAACCCAAGUAGGGAAUUAUAUAGAGUUCUCUAAUUGAAUUGGUGAAAUGGUAUGUUAUCUCAUUGAUUGAUUAACGUAGUUAAAUGCUAAGAUCAUGCAUCCUUGAUUCAUGAAGGGAUUAAUUGACGGGAAUUGUGGAAUGACGUUGGAUAUGAUUGUUAUUAUUAUGAUUAUUUAGUGAUCAAUGUGGCUUAAGAAUAAUACUGUGCUUCGUUGGUUAUUGAAUAAGUUGCUUGCUGUUGAUGGAGAUAUCACGUUGAGAACAUAGUGAUUUAUAUGAUGGAUGGAAUGGAAACCUUGAAUGUCAUGUGGAUUUGUUAUGUAACCAUGAAUCUAGUAAUUCAUGCUUGUUAAGUUCUAAUAAUUGAUUGAGGAAUGCUAUGCUUUUUGAUUUGAACGUAUUGUGAUAAACAUCGAGGUGUAAUGAAUGGUGAACUAUGAAUGGCUUGAUCCCCAAAUGAGGGUACGUAGGCAGUCUAACAAGGAGGUUAGAUGCAACCAUAAAGUAUACGAAAAAUUCUAUGCAAUUCGAGGCAUGGCAUGUGCUUGAUACAAAUCCCGGGGGACGGGUAUGUUAUAUAUGUGGUUAUUUGAUGACGUCACGUGUCGAUCCCGGACGUAUGUCGGGAUCGGGACGUGACAGGAGAACUGCUCUUUCAAACGAGUCCAAAGAUCUCGAGAGCUCGUACUACCAAUUGCACAGGACAAAGCAACAGGUGACAAAGUAGCAGUGAUUAAUUGCAUUAUAGCCCUAUCAUGCAUUUUCCAAACGACAAAUUCAUCAAUUUCAACAGAAGUAGUAGAGCCAGAGUGUAUACCAGAUUCACUAGAAGGAACGUGAUGUUAAGCAGGACAAGGGUGCGAGCCAUCAACAAACCUCAUAAUACCAUUGCUCUCCAACAAAAGUUGUAUCUGAAAGUGCCAAUUGAGGUAAUUGGAGUCAUCCAAUUUGACAUUCAAUGAAGUCGAGAUGGUGGAGAUUAAAGCCGUGAUCGGAGAUUGCACAAGUUGAAGUUGAGUUGCAGUCACCAUUGAAAUUUCAGCUGAAAAACUCAGUGAGGAAUUAUAACAAACAGUUGAUAUGCAAGAUUGAAGGAAACGGAGAAGAUGAUCGAAGAAGAUCACGAUCAACCAAGAAACCCUAGAAGAUCAAUUUUCAAGAAGACGAAGAGAAUUAGGGAUACCGAAGACAAAUUGAUAAGUGCGAAGACAUAUUCGAACCGAGCGGAAGCAGAUGAGAAGGAUCGAAGAUUAUGCGCAGGCAACAAUGGUGAUUGAUACCAUGUAAACGUGUAAGUAAAUCUAUGAAAUUAUAUACAGAAGGUUUAGAGAGAGAAUAGCUCAGAGAAGAGAGAGAGAGAGAGAGAGAGAGAUAGAGAAUGAAAGUUCUUGAUAUAUUUCUUGAUCACUAAGUAAUACAGAUGUUGAGAUAUUUAUACAUUUUCAAUACCAAAGCUAACUGCCUUAACAGAACUUUUAAUCUAAUUACAAGUGUCAACAUCCUAUUCAUCAACUUCUAUACUCUAUCAAGGAGUUCGAGUGUUAGAGAGAGAGUGUCUCAGUGUAUAAUGAGGGAAGGAUAUGAGAGUGACCGCAAGUUGGGAUUACUAAAUUACCCUCCACAUUACAAAAAUCAUAACUCAAUCUCCCCGACUCCGAAUUCAAUUAUGGUUUCAUCUAUACGCACUCGAAGAAAACUAAUUUAAUAAAAUAGAAAAAAUAUGACAAAUUGGAAUUUAACUCAGAGGUCCAUAAUUACUCAAGGCAUCCAAUCAGGGGUAUUUUGGUUAUUUCAUAUUUCUAAAAAAUAAAAUACAUUAUUUUAAGAUACUGACAUCAGCCUUGUCAUUUCAAUUUGCGCUCUUUGGCACUUCCAAAAUAAGUCAGGAAUCAGGUUUUGAAAGCUGGACACCUUUCAAGAAACUCAGUCUCCCUUUUCACAUGCUAGGAGGUGUGCAAGCAGAGCAAUUGUCAUGAUUGUCUUCCUCCCAAGCCCCAUCUCGUCGGCUAGAAUCCCGUUCAGUCAUUUCUCAGUAUUUAUUGGCUAUAAUCCCAUCUCUUGCUUCUUGCUUAUCAUGUUCAGAUUCUUCAUUUAUAGUCUACCGAAUUGCAGAACACCCAUUGAAACAAAACCUACCCAAAUCAAUGUCCUGAUCGAACCCAUGUAAGAGAAUUCGAACCAUGGCAAAUUUUCAAAUUCGUCCUGAAAGAAAUCUUGACCAAUUGCCGUGAGGUCGUCACCUCAAUAGAGAAAAUAGGAAUUGGGUUUUCUGGGGAGAGCUUGUACUCAACCAAAGCACAAGAACGAUCACAUUGAUGUUAGUUUUGAUCAUUGAGUGGUCAGAUGUCCAUAAUGUAAAAAAUAUUUGACGACUUCAUAUGAGCAGCAAGCAAUCUUCGGUUGCUGCUUGCUGGGCACAGAGGAAUUUAAGAGACGAUUGAGCAAGAGUAGAAGUGGCGCAUGAUUAUAUUAUUUUUUAUUUGUACAUGUCUAGGGGUAUAUGUGGAAAAAUGAAAUCCGUCUUUGCAUAGCAUUUGAGUUUUUUGCUCUAUGUGUAUGUCCACGUGUAAACAGGUGAGUGAGAAAGGUAAAAAGGGAAAAGUUGCUAGUAUUCCUCUAAUUUGAAUGCUUGCUAUUGCACAUUUUUAAGCAGGAAUAAUGUAGGAGUUUUAACAAAAAUAAAGGAUGGACAAUUACUUUAUAAUAAAUUACAUAGUAACCCUUUAAGUUUAAGGUCUAUUACAAUCUCAUACACAUCUUUAAAACAUUUCACUUUCAUACCUCAUCUACUAUUUUAUUUCAAAAUAAUACAUGUGUUAGAUUUUCCAUCCAUUGAUCCGUUAAAUGCUGACGUGGCUGCCACCUGUGUGCCACGUGGCAAAAAAAUAAUUUUUUAAUUUUUUUUUUUAAAAACCUGAAUCUUCUCGUAAAAAAGAAGAUAUAUUAUAUCUAAUCUCAGCGGAGGACAAAGACAUCGGGAGGAGGAAGGGAUCGAAUCUGGGCGGGAGGCACCAAAGCCAUGACUAUUGUGGAGCCAAAAAUAAUCAUAAGGUGACAUGUGGAUUUUUGGGUAAAAUGACAAAAAUACCCUUGAGGUGUACCAAGUUUCUACGCGCGAGCAGUAGACAAUCAUCCUCAACCAAGUCAAAAAUGCUCCAAAAAAGGUAACCAAUUCCAAAUUAUCUCAUCCAUCCUCAUUUUAGGUAAUUACUUCAUAACCUAUAAAUUGUUCCAUAUAAAUAGAGAUUAAUUGGCUAAUUAAUGAAUUAAUUCCUAAAUUCAUUAAUCAACCAAUUAAAUCACCAAUCAUACCCAAAAAAUACCUCUUUUGGCUGGUUACCCACUCCCCCAAAGGAACCGACCAUCUCCUUUUAUUUCCUACCUUUUCUACCAUAUCUUUCCUUUUUAUGAUAAUAAUUAGCUAAGAUAAAUAGGGAAUUAUUAGCUAAUUAUUUCAUAAAAUCCCAAUUACCACAAAAUAUCCCCAAAUAUGCACUAAAUGGCCAGCCAUCUAUUGCUAGAAAACGAAUUGGCCAUACUUUGCUUAUUCAUCCCAUUAAUUAGCUAAUUCAUUUGGUAAUAAUCCUUUUGCCUAUUUAAUUAGUCAAUUAAUCACAUAACUCCCAAAAUCAUAUUAAAUCAAGAACCCUAUCCCUAUAAAUAGACUCCUAUUUUCACCAAAAACGAAGGCCAACACUUUGGCAAUAAUCCCAAAAUUCUCUAAACACUCUUUCUCUCUAAAUUCUAACUUUGGCAUCGGAGGGUCUUCGGCCAAAGCCCCCCCAUUGAUCGUGGGCGCGUGAGGCUCUUGGCCUUAACCUAAGGUGUUAAUUGUUUUGUAGGUGAAAAAUUGUCUAAGAUCAAGGAGGAAGAAAUUUGCAUCCACAAAUUGGUGCUUUCAUUGAGAGUUGAAAUCCAUACUCGUAGAAGACUCUCGCACAAAAAGGUUUUUUCUUUAUUUUUUAGUCCAUUUGAAUAUUUUUUUAUACGUUCUUAUUAUUAGAAUUUUUUUACUUGCAAAGGUUCUUUGAUAAAACGUAUAAGCAAAAUAUAAUGGCUAGAAAUAUAGAAAAUUCCACAAGUGAAAAUUCUAAUAAUCAAGAAAUGGGAUUUCGGAGAUCCGUAAGGCUAAAUGCGACAAUAAAUGGAGUGGCACCACCACCACGAGUUUCCACCAUGGGAACCACCACGGUGGCGAGGUCCAUGGUGCCUUCACCACGGCCCGAGUCGUGCCAUCUAAGGCUCACGGCACCAAGGCCACGACCCAAGCCAUGUCACUCCAAGCCCAACGCGUUGCCAAGCCAAGCCCAAGUCUCGCACCUAUGUGUAUCACACUCCGAGCAGCUUGCUCCCACCGAGCAGCCCACUCUCGCGGCCCAACCUGCUCUUGUGGCCCAGCCUGCUCCCGACGAGUAGCCCACUCCCGUGGUCCAGCAUGCUCAUGCCGAGCAGCCCACUCUCAUAGCCCAGCCUGCUCUCAUGGCCCAACCUGCUCUCGUGGCCCAGCCUGCUCUCGUGGUCCAGCCUACUCCCGUCGAGCAGCCCACUCUCGCAGCCUAGCCUGCUAUCAUGGCCCAGCCUGCUCCCACGGCCCAGUCUGCUCCCGUGGAUUUCCAAGCAGCCCAAGUUGGCCCAAGACUAUCUCAACUAUCCGGACCUACCAUCGAGCCGGGGGCAUUCUCACCACAUUUUUUUGCGGAUUUGACAUUUCCCAACUCAAAUCUCUCGCCCGGAGUCUACCACCCUUCCACUGCCCAAGGAGGCGCAUUCCUUCAAAGCUCUUCCAAUCCAAAUGGCGAACAACACUUGUCUCGACAAGUCAUAGAGUUGACGAGUGCCCUUGCACAACAGACGACCUUGGUGAAUCAACUUUUGCAACGCAUCGGGAUCCAACGUGCCCCAGACGAGGUAUCCCGAAGUAGGACAAGGGCAGACUAACCUUUCCAGCAGCGUCCUGGCAAGCAGCCACUCGACCAGCCAUGAGCCGAGCGUUCGGGCAGUGUACAUUCCCGAUUGGGCCCCCGAGAUAGUGUAUACUCCCGUCUUAGCGCGUGGAGGAGCGUGCACUCUCGACUAGGCCCACGGAUGAGCAUACAUUCAUGGUUGGGGUCACACUCCGAUAGUCAACAUGAGCAACCUUCCGGGCAAAGUGUUCAUUCACGGCUAAGCCCGCAAGGAGCAUCCUCCACCUCACAUCGGAGUAGGCAGCACGACGGACGAAGAGAAGCAGUCACUCAAUCCAGCUUAAGUUCAACCAGCAGUCUGUGAAGAACUCGCUCGCCUACUAGAAACGCACCACAUGCACUGCAUCCGUGGUAUAGAUGAGCCAAACACAUGGAAGAGUAGCCUAGACCAGCAAGUCAUGGCUGGGGGCAGCCGAGAGCUCCGCUACCUCAACAAAGGCAAAUUCAGGAAGAAGUAGAGAGACUCUUGACCAAACGAUUGCAUGAUUUCCAACGCAACGAGGUCACCGACGAGGCACUACAACGGAACAUGACCAACAUAAGUAGGUUACCCUUCACGGACGAGAUCAAGCAGGCAAAGCCUCCACGCGAGUUUAACAUGUGACAUUUCACAUCUUUCAAAGGGGAUGAAGACCCGGAUAGACACUUAAAGCGCUACUGAAACGCAAUGAUCCUUUAUCGAAACAACAAUGAUCUCAUGUGCAAGAUAUUCGCCACCACUCUACAAAGCGAGGCGCAAGAUUGGUUUUACACCCUGCCACCACAAUCCUUCCGAAAUUUCUACGAACUUUUUUUGUUUUCACCAAAGAAUAUUCAUCUUAUUGCUCGAUAAAAAAGAAGUCUGGCCAUUUGUUCGACGUCAAGAAGAAUCUAAAGGAGUCGCUUCGUAACUAUGUAAGGAGGUUCAAAGUAAAGAAGGCAAAAAUAAUCGGAUGCAACGAUUCAAUAGCUAGAGCAGCCUUCCAAAAAGGACUUCCAGCUGACCACCCACAACAACAACAACAACAACAACAAAGCCUUUUCCCACUAAGUGGGGUCGGCUAUAUGAAUCCUAGAACGCCAUUGCGCUCGGUUUUGUGUCAUGUCCUCCGUUCGAUCCAAGUACUCUAAGUCUUUUCUUAGAGUCUCUUCUAAAGUUUUCCUAGGUCUUCCUCUACCCCUUCGGCCCUGAACCUCUGUCCCGUAGUCACAUCUUCGAACCGGAGCGUCAGUCGGCCUUCUUUGCCCAUGUCCAAAUCACCGGAACCGAUUUUCUCUCAUCUUUCCUUCAAUUUCGGCUACUCCUACUUUACCUCGGAUAUCCUCAUGCCCAAUCUUAUCCUUUCUCUCGUGUGCCCACACAUCCCACGAAGCAUCCUCAUCUCCGCUACACCCAUUUUGUGUACGUGUUGAUGCUUCACCGUCCAACAUUCUGUGCCAUACAACAUCGUUGGCCUUAUUGUCGUCCUAUAAAAUUUUCCCUUGAGCUUCAGUGGCCUACGACGGUCACAUAACACGCCGGAUGCACUCUUACACUUCAUCCGUCCAGGUCGUAUUCUAUGGUUGAAAUCUCCAUCUAAUUCUCCGUUCUCUUGCAAGAUAGAUCCUAGGCAGCAAAAAACGGUCGCUUUUUGUGAUCUUCGCUAGAUUUGCUCCGGUCAUUAGUGUGGAUAAGUAUAUAAAUGAAUAGAGAUAGGAAAGCAAACACAAGAUGUACGUGGUUCACCCAGAUUGGCUACGUCCACGGAAUAGAAAGAGUUCUCAUUAAUUGUGAAGGGUUUACACAAGUACAUAGGUUCAAGCUCUCCUUUAGUGAGUACAAGUGAAUGAUUUAGUACAAAUGACAUUAGGAAAUAUUGUGGGAGAAUGAUCUCGUAACCACGAAACUUCUAAGUACCGGAGUGUGGUAUCGUCUUGACUUGCCUUAUCUGUCUCAUAGGUAGAUGUGGCAUCUUCUCUCUCUGGAAGUACUCUUCCUCCAUCCAGGGGUGGUAUCUGUAACUGGUGGAGAUGCACAAGGUAAUGUAUCAAUUUCACUUGAAGCUUACUUGUAGUUUCAGGCUUGGUCAAGCGCGAUACAAACCAUGUAGUAGGAGUCCCCCAAGUCGCCGGGCUAGGGGAUCUGCUGAAAGAGGUGACAGACAAGGUAAGCAAUCAGAGCUCCGGCUGAUUGUUCACCUUCUCCCCAUCUUGCAGCAGCAUGAAGGAUAAAGAGAAGAAAGAUGAGAAGAGAUGAUAUGGGAUACUUUUGCUUUUGAAGAAGUAACUUUCCACAGGCUUAUUCUUGAACUGAGCUGGAGGGUUUUCUGGUUUUCCUCCAGAGCCGACUGAAGAAUUUGAGGGUCAAAACAAGUCCAUCAAAUCUAGAGUACGUUCGACCCUGCUGAUAUGGGAUACUUUUGCUUUUGACAGAGUAAUGGAUGUAUCGGCACGUGUGCUGUUACGCUUGUCUCCACAUGCUUCCUUGUAUCCUUCGCACUUGCCCUAUCUGUUCCUCAAGCAGAUGCGGUAUCUUCCCUGGAAACAUAAGAUGUUGAAGAUGAGUACUCGAGAGCAAUGCCAGGUAAGUAAUCAGGUAAGGGGUUCCAGGCAGUCAGUUCCUGGCUGGAAGCUUGAUUCCAAGUGCUGACUGAUUGCUCUCUUUCUCCUUGUCUUGCAGGUAACAAACAAGGCCAAAGGAAAAGACAGGGAAAAAGCAUGAUAUGGGAUACUCUUGCUUUUAACCCUGAUGAUAUGAGAUAUUCUUGCUCUAGUAUAGCUUGUUUGCAAAGGUAUUAUCGGGGGGAAAGAAAGCUGAAUAUUUCGAAAGGCUUCGUUGGGAGUGCCCUCUCAAAUAUGAGGAAGGGUUGAACAUUUUUGCAGGUCUGCCUGUCCGUUGGGGAUGGAGGUCGACAUAUAUAGGAGUCUCCCUAACAACAAGUAGUAAUGCUAUUCCUUUACCCUGCUUGGUCAUAGCACGGUAGUGGGAGCUGCCAGCUUCACAUGUUUUAACUCUGUCAGAGCACUUUGAAAAAGUGGUCUGUGCUCUCGAGAAGUCUUCGACAGAAUGCCUAUAAUUUCCGCAAGGUGAUCGGAUGAUAUUUAUAUAUAUUUUUACUUUGAAUUCACUCGUCUUUUCUUAGUUAGUUCCUUAUAUUUUUGAGCUAUUUACGUUAUUUUUGUGUUUAUAGGAUUUGUUAUGCAAAGAAAAUAAAAAUAGAACAAGUGAAAUUUUAUGUAAUAAAUUCGUCAAAACUGUCUGUGUAGAUCAGCUUUUAAAUUAAAUUAAAAAUUAUAUUUAAUAAUGAUAAGUCGUGAUGAUGUUUGAAACAUCAUCAUGAUGGUUUUGUUUUGUAGAAAAAAAAAAAAGAAAGAAAACGGUGGAAAGAAAGAGUUGGACAAAGAAAGGAAAGAAUCCAAGGCAAAAGAGGAGUAGAUGCGGGGAGGACUGGAAAACAGAGAAAGCAAACGGGACAGCCAAGAGAAGUGGGGAUGGCAAAAUAAAAGAAUAAUAAAAUAAAGAAAAAGGACUGUCAGAUGGAAGGAGGGAAGAGGAUUGGGAGCUGCCUUUGACAGCUAAGAGGUCAGCCGCUGGGUCCAGCUCUCGCCACUUGCGACGAGCCCCAUGAUUCUUUUCUUGGAUCCAGAGGAUGUGAAAAGUAAAGCUUGAGGAGAGAGCUGAGCAGGGGGGCAGCGUGAGACAAAGAGGAAAAUAAAAUAAGAGCUGCGGGGAGGAAAAAAGGGGAGAGUCCGGAGGAAAGCUGCCAUUUGGCAGCUUGAGCAGGGGGAGAGCAGAAACCUGCUUUUGGGCUGGCGUGAUUAAGGGGGUCGGGGGAGCGGAAGAAAGGGGCUGCCCUUUGGGCAGCUCGCAGGAACGUGCAGGGCGUGACAGGAAAGGUGAGGCAAGCAAGGGAGAUAGGCAGAGAGAAGGGGAGAGGCGCAGGAAGAGUGGGAAGAGAAGAGACUGGCAGCGUGCAGGGGAAGAGAAGACGGGACAGCAGAAAAAGCACAAAGGCUUGCCAGCGCAGAAACGCAGGGAGAGGGAAGUCAGGGAGUGAAGAAAGCUGCAAGCUGUUCUCUCUCUCGGUUUAAACUUUUCAAACUUCUAUUUUAUUUCUGUUUAAUAAUGUGUAAUUAAUUUUAUUUUGGCUAGAGGUUAAUUCGAAACCAUGAAUAUAUUUGUAAUAUGAAUUGAUUACCUUCGGUUGUGAUUUCAUAAGUUGUGUUUUCAAUUUACUUAUCCGUUCGUAUAAAAACUGAUUUGUGUAUGUUGGUUGAGAGUGCACGCUUAAUUUACAUGCAUGAAUUUGAUGCUAGAAUAUAAGUGAAUUUCACCUAAUCGUUAUGAACUUAUUUUCACAAGUAGUAAAGGUUGCUAGUCACAAUCACGUUAAGUAAAUUCUUGGCAAGAGUAUCAUGCUUUUCAUAGUUACGAAUGUCUCGUCAAUGCUUAUAGUUUUCACAAAGUUUAAUGAUCUUUGAUUGUAUCGCUAUUGUGCUUUUCACGUAGGGGACUUUUGAAGAAUGUUUUGAAUUGUUGUAUGCGUUUUUCCGUCCAAUUCAAUAACUUAAGGAAAACUUGAAGAUUAAAAAAGUGCUGUUCACGGUUAAUCUGGAGUAUUGAGAUUCACAAUUUAUUGAAAGAACAACUGAAAAUCAAUUUAGGUUGCAUAUGUGUCAUGUGUGGAGAAGAACCCUCUAGCUAGUCCGUCAUUUAUCUUUUCAUUUUAAUUUCAUGUUUUUGUAAAUUCUGUAAUUUAUUUAAGUUUAAUUUACUUUUCAUCAAAAUCAAACCCUCCCAUUAUUAAAUUAUUUUAUUUAGUUAGUUUUCAUUGUUUUUAGUCUUUUAAUUCAAUUUCCGUCCAUUUCAGUUCCUAGUGUUUAAUUUAAUUGUUUUCAUUAUUUUGAGUCAUUUUAAGUGUGUUUCGAGUUAUUAGAGUUUUUAGCCUAAUUUUAUGUCCUUGAGUCUUAUUUAAUAUUUUUAAAUUAAUUUAGAAUAGAUUAGCAAUCCCUCCUAAUCCCCGGCCUAGAACGAUACCCUACUUACAUCUAUACUACAAUUGUCAAAAAGAGGGUUUAAUUUGUGUGUCAAGUAAUUCUCGCAUCACAAAGCUGAGUGUGCGUGUGACAGGUGCUGACAAGGCUAGAAAAGUAGGUGCCUCUUCGAUUUCUGAGAUCGGCCCUCGUGGUCUCUGAGCAGCCCAGCUUUUGAGAAAGCGAGCGUCUCUUCGAUUGAUUCGGAGAACGAUGCAUCUUCGAUUUUUAAGAAAGCAAUCAUGAUGGGGGUCUGGCUCUCGAGAUUCGGGGAGCAAUGUCACUUCGAUUUUUGAGAAAGUAAUCAUGUUGGGAGUCUGGCUCUCGAGAUUCGGAGGGCGGUGCCUCUUCGAUUUUGGAGCAAGCAAUCUUGUUGGGAGUGUUUUCUCGAAUGUGAGUAAAGGUUGGGCAUGUUUGCUAGUCUACCUUGCCACGAAGCACAGAGGUUGACACACAGGGAUUUUCCAAUUAUCCAGCAAUGGUACUGUUCCUUUACCCUCUCUUCGAUUUUUGAGAAAGUAGUCAUGUUGGGAGUCUGGCUCUCGAGAUUCGGAGGACGGUGCCUCUUCGAUUUUGGAGCAAGCAAUCUUAUUGGUAGUGUUUUCUCGAGUGUGAGUAAAGGUUGGGCAUGUUUACUAGUCUACCUUGCCACGAAGCACAGAGGUUGACACACAGGGACUUUCCAAUUAUCCAGCAGUGGUACUGUUCCUUUACCCUUGUGGGUAAUAAUAUGGUAGCUAGACCUUCAAAAUUUAUGGGUCUAAACUUUGUUAGUGCUGUUUCUUUGCUAUUCUUUUACCUUUCUUGGUCAGAGCGAUGUAGUGGGAGCUGCAAGCUUUACGUGCUCAAUUUUGGAAGAGAACUUUGGCAAAGUUAUCUGUGGUACCCAUGAGCUAGUGUUGCGUGUGGGAAGUGGGUGAUUGAACAGUAAGAUUCAUGUGUUUUCUACUUCCUCAGAAGUCUUCGACAGAAUGGCCAUAAUUUCCGCAAAGCUGAGUGUGCGUGUGACAGGUGCUAACAAGGCUGGAAAAGUAGGUGCCUCUUCGAUUUCUGAGAUCGGCCCUCGUGGUCUCUGAGGAGCCCAGCUUUUGAGAAAGCGAGCGCCUCUUCGAUUUCUGAGAUCGGCCUUCGUGGUCUUUGAGCAGCCUAACUUUUGAGAAAGCAAACGCCUCUUCGAUUUCUGAGAUCAACCCUCGUGGUCUCUAAGCAGCCCAGCUUUUGAGAAAGCAAACGCCUCUUCGAUUUCUGAGCAGGCGCCUCUUCGAUCUCUGAAGAUCCGUCGAGUGCAGAUUUUUAUAAGGGCUGGCAUUAAGUUCCAAAGCACACUUGAAUCUCCACCAGUAGAAGCUCCAUUCUUGCACUUCUAAGAUCUUGAUUUGUCCAACCUCUUCUCUCUUCAACACCUUUGAAAAUGUCUGGCCCCUCCGACCGUCGUUUUGACUUGAACCUUGUUGAAGAGGCAGCCCCGCCUUCUCCAGACAACAUAUGGCGCCCAUCCUUCGUCUCCCCUACUGGUCCUCUUACCGUUGGGGAUUCCGUGAUGAAGAAUGAUAUGACUGCUGCGGUGGUGGCCAGGAACCUUCUCACUCCCAAAGAUAACAGACUACUUUCCAAACGGUCUGAUGAGUUAGCUGUUAAGGAUUCGCUGGCUCUCAGUGUUCAGUGUGCAGGUUCUGUGUCUAAUAUGGCCCAACGCCUAUUUGCUCGAACCCGCCAAGUUGAAUCAUUGGCGGCUGAGGUGAUGAGUCUCAAACAGGAGAUUAGAGGGCUCAAGCAUGAGAAUAAACAGUUGCACCGGCUCGCACAUGACUAUGCUACAAACAUGAAGAGGAAGCUUGACCAGAUGAAGGAAACUGAUGGUCAGGUUUUACUUGAUCAUCAGAGAUUUGUGGGUUUGUUCCAAAGGCAUUUAUUGCCUUCGUCUUCUGGGGCUGUACCGCGUAAUGAAGCUCCAAAUAAUCAACCUCUGAUGCCUCCUCCUUCUAGGGUUCUGUCCAGUACUGAGGUUCCGAAUGAUCCCCUUCCGGUGCCUUCUCUUUCUGGGGCUCUACCGACUGCUGAGACUUCUCCUAAGCAACCCUUGUGAAGGCUCCCUCUUGUUUGUUUAUUUUGACUCAUGUAUAUGUACACAUUUGUAGCUUAUCGGGGAUAUCAAUAAAUAAGUUUUCCUUCAUUUCAACGUAUUGUGUUAAAUACACCAAAACCUUCUUCGCUAAGUUCUUUGAAUUUUCUUUUGUUGAAGCUUGUAUGUUGAAGCUUUCUGAGUGGAGCAUGUAGGUUGGGGUAGUGUUCCUUUAAUUUCCCGAGUGAGGAAAACUUCUCGAUUGGAGACUUGGAAAAUCCAAGUCACUGAGUGGGAUCGGCUAUAUGAAUCUUAGAACGCCAUUGUGCUCGGUCCUGUGUCAUGUCCUUCGUUAGAUCCAAGUACUCUAAGUCUUUUCUUAGAGUCUCUUCCAAAGUUUUCCUAGGUCUUCCUCUACCCCUUCGGCCCUGAACCUCUGUCCCAUAGUCGCAUCUUCUAAUCGGAGCGUCAGUAGGCCUUCGUUGCACAUGUCCAAACCACCGUAACCGAUUUUCUCUCAUCUUGCCUUCAAUUUCGGCUACUCCUACUUUACCCCGGAUAUCCUCAUUCUUAAUCUUAUCCUUUCUCGUGUGCCCACACAUCCAACGAAGCAUCCUCAUCUCCGCUACACCCAUUUUGUGUAUGUGUUGAUGCUUCACCGCCCAACAUUCUAUGCCAUACAGCAUCGCUGGCCUUAUUGCCGUCCUAUAAAAUUUUCCCUUGAGCUUCAGUGGCAUACGGCGGUCACACAACACGCGCCGGAUGCACUCUUCCACUUCAUCCAUCCAGCUUGUAUUCUAUGGUUGAGAUCUCCAUCUAAUUCUCCGUUCUUUUGCAAGAUAGAUCCUAGGUAACGAAAACGGUCGCUCUUUGGUAUUUCUUGAUCUCCGAUCCUCACCCCUAACUCGUUUUGGCCUCCAUUUGCACUGAACUUGCACUCCAUAUAUUCUGUCUUUGAUCGGCUUAGGCGAAGACCUUUAGAUUCCAACACUUCUCUCCAAAGGUUAAGCUUUGCAUUUACCCCUUCCUGAGUUUCAUCUAUCAACACUAUAUCGUCUGCGAAAAGCAUACACCAAGGAAUAUCAUCUUGAAUAUGUCCUGUUAACUCAUCCAUUACCAACGCAAAAAGGUAAUACUCUUUCGCUCUGGCAGAGAAGCAUGCACUUUGGGACGAAGUUCGCCGAUGCCCAUUUAAGGAAAAUCCAAGCAAUCUUGAAUAUGAAGUUCCCCACUACUCUAAAGGAGAUUCAAAGUCUGACUGGAUGAGUAGUCGCAUUUGAAGCAUAAAUAAGCUCUACCAUCAUACAAGAAGAGCUGGGGGCCCGACUACCUAUAUUCCAGUUUAAAAGCUCUCCUCGAUGUUAUCAGUUGUAUUCCACAGUUUAAAAGCUCUCAUUGAUGUUAUCAGAAAUUCAAAAGCUAACUUUAGCGAUAGUUGUUGUAACCUAAAAGCUUAAGUUUUACCCUCAAACGCACGCAGUCAUCAUCAUGAUGCACUAUUCCACCGAAUCCUGACGAACGCAACAACUAGGCCCAAAAGACAUGCCAAGGGUAGACGAACACUGGAAGGAACAUUUAAAAGCAAGUUUUUUCCUCGUCGCCCCAGAAGAUUCUACAUAAAAGCAACAUGUACCGACAGUUGAGCACUACCUCCUGCUACGCGUGACACGGCCCUAGCCAACCUUUGCUCCAUUAUUCAGCUCUAGAGUGGUCCAAUACCGAAAAUUGAGCAUUUCCUGCUACAUGUAACAUGGCCCCAGCCCCACGGCUCCGUACCACGCAUUCACACCUAGCCUUGACAACACAACAGAGUGGCCCAAUUGCUCCCCGAAGGCAGCCGAGCACACUUUAGCAGCACCUGCUCCCUCAAUGGAGAUUUCUGGCAUUUGCAUGUCAAUGACGUAAUACCUAAAGAAAGUACGCAAGCAGCUUGAGGCAUUUCAGACUUAAACUCUCACUCAAGUUCCCCGGGCAGACAAUGCCCAUGCAAACGUACUAGUCGGCCUAGGCUCCGCACUCGAUCACCAACUCAAAACGCUCUAUUCUGGUGGAAUAUCUUGACAAGCCAAGCAUAGAGAUGGAGCCAACAACCCAAGUGUCAUAGCAUUUUCAUCCAAAGAUCCCACACCGGAUCACAUAUCCGCUGCCUAGCGCCUCCCGACAACUUGAAAGUUCUAAGAUCAAAUCCACGAAGGUGUAUAUGGAAACCACUUUGGAGGCCAAUCCUUAGUAUAGAAGGCUCUUAACGCAGGCUACUAUUGGCCUACCAUGCACCAAGAUGCUAAGGAGUUAGUACAAAAGUGCCUUAAGAAUAUGGCAUCUAGUAGCACAUGUCCACACCGAGAUAUCCACAAGGCAAUGGGUAGGCCGGAGUAUCCAACAAGACGAUCCUCGACUGCCUCAAGAAAUCCCUGACCAAUAAGAAAGGAAAAUGGCUAAACGAACUCUUCGGUUGUCUAUGGGCAUAUCGCACCACCAAAAGACGAACAACCGAAUGGUAAGGAGAUGACCACAAGUUUAGAUCUGGCAGAGGAGAAGCGUGAGUAGACCAUCACUUGAAUAGUAACCUACCAGCAGCAACUCCUCCCCAGCUACAACAAAACCCGAAGACUCAAGAAGCUCGACGGGUACCACCUCACAAGCCGAGGAUUAUCCAGUUGUUAUGCAGUUCCUACCUUACAGCUAAGUUCUUGUUCGUUUCACUCAUUUUUUUAAUGAGGAAUUCAUAAGUAAUCACAACUUGGCUCGGCUACAUGCUUACAACAACUGAUCACUCCUGCACUUCAAAAGAAGACUGCGCCCUACUUAGGGACUCAUCGCAGGAAUUGCGCCCCCCGAGGGACCAACCAUGCUCUCCAGUGUGAGAGGGUAAACUAAUUGCUCUCCAGUGCAAAAGGGUAAACCAAUUCCCCGACACCCAUAUAGGUCAGCUCUCCAAGACGGGAGGAUAAACUUUACACUCCGAAUAUCCAGACGUGGAUGAGCCUGGCUGCCCUAGUAUAACUAGAUGCACGAUGGCUUGCGCCGGGAUUCCUAGAAGUAGCUACAAUGGUUUUUUUCAAGGCUUAGCUAACUGAAGGAUUUUGGGUCUCUUGGCCUAAUCCGUAGGGAACCGGACCCCAGAGACGGAGAGGACGCAUUAUGUAGUACGCCUUACAGACGGCUGCCCUGGAACCCUAAAGUUGCUACCGAGUACGCUAAGGUAGCCUACGGAUUCUGGAAGACUGCCUACGGCUUGCCCUUCGAGCAAUAAAACUGCGCUAGACUUAUAUAACCUCACAUUCUUGUGAAAGGUUAAACAAGCUAGCGCACAUAUACGAAAUUUUAUCCACUGCCGACAUGCUAUGUAGUCGAUAAGCUUCACCUCUGCCAAGCGCGGAACAACCUACACCAAGUCCUAAAGUGUUGUGAUACUUGCUACGCAACCUACGGAAUUGGAGAAAGCCAAGGUUAACAGCCUAGUGGUUACGCGGACUUGUCUGCUUCUGUAAGUAAGGUAUCCGGUUGCCAACCCUAUGGCUAAUAACCUUGCAAAGUUCUACACCAACACCUACGGCUGCAUAGACUACGCGGGCUUGUCUGCUUAUAAAAAAAUAGCAUGCCUGCCACUGGUCUAUCAAGUCUAAAGGUUAAGGCAUGAACAAAAGAAGCGAAGAUGAAGAAAAGCGAAGGAAAACAUAUUUAUAAACAACUAGCAAAGGCCGAAGAAGUUCAAGCAAAACAAGAGCUACAAGGAAAACAAAGAAAAUCAUAAAGGCUACCUAGAAUACUAAACUACAGCAACUUGGACAUCCCAUGACUACUCGGUCGCCACACCUUCAGCAGCCGUAACGCUCUUAGCAGCGGCAUCAUCCGGCGCUUCACCCCCGGCUGCCCCAGCCUCGGCACUAACUUCUCCAACUACUUCACCAAUGGAAGCCUCAAAAGUAAAAGCAAGCAAGUCUUCCAGAGAAAUAGAGAAGGUCUUGAAACCUCAAGCCCAUCAUUCUCACCCUUCAGCUGCUCAUUUCUUCUCAAGCAGACUAACACGGACGCGCUGCAGCUCAUCCACUCCCUUCUUAGCAUAAGCAGCAAUCAACUUUUCAUCAUUUGCAUAAGCAGCGAAACGAAGCUUAGAAACUGCAAACUCAAGAUCUUGAAUCUAAGGUAUUGUAACAUUUAAUCUCAUUUUCUAUACUUUCAUGCUUAACUUGGAUCACGUCAAGUUUAGUCUUCAAGUCAACGAUCUCUUGGCAAGCGGUCUCAAGCUACAAAGAAGUGGGGGCAGAAAUAUUAGACCCUUUCAAAGCAACGAGCUCAGAAUCUUCCAUAGUAUUUGCCAUUUCCUUAGCAGCCUUGCUAUAUCUGCAUCAUAGCAAGCAGAGCAGUCCUUCUAUAUUGGGUCGUAUGCUUCGCAAACGAGUUUGGGCAAACAACCUUUCUGACGCCAUCAACAAACUUAGCACAAGCGUUCAUGUUUUCAAGAGAUCUGGUUUCAAAAGCACAUAAAUCUCAGCAGCCUCCCUUGAAGCAGGCUUAGUGGAUUUCUCACAGCUGCCUACGCGAGCAGUCUCCUCAUUCCCAGCAGGCGAAUCAGUCUCAGCAGCAUAAGGAAUUGGCCUUGGUGCCACAUUAGCAGCAGAGUCCUCCUUAUCGCUUUUCAUAAUAGCAAGCCUCUCCGAAGGUGAACUAAACUUAGCUCCCAACAGACGUCUUGGUAUAAAAUUCGGCACUAGGGGCAUGACAGGACCUUUAUGCCGAACAAUCAUAUCAGCAAUCAUACUAGCCAUUCUUGACAUGGCAGGCGCCACAUGCUCAGAUCUAGCAGCCUCAUUUUUCAUCCCCUUGGAAAAAGUCAAGUCAAUCACAAGCCUGGAGGCAGUUGAUGAACCCGCGCGAGCAGCGAAAGAAGUCUUUCAUUUUUUUUUUCUCAACCGGCAUCUCUUGAGCAGGCAAGGAAGAUCCAUUUUCCCACCUUCAUUUAUAGCAGGAUCCACAACAGUGAUUGGACAAGCCAAUGCAUCUGCCUUGAUCUUAUUCACCUCCUCUUUUAGGAGCAGCCCACGUUUCUCCUGACGAAAAAGAGUUAAAGUAGCCAACGCUAUUCGUGGUACCUAGCAGGGGAGUUCAACCCAACAUUCUAGCAGCUCAUGAGGUUCGCAACCUCUUCAUUUCUCUCAAUCACCGGCCUAGCUUGCGUCAUGUUCAAAAACCUAAAAGGACAUGAGCCAUGUGACUCGCCUAGCACUGCGCCCCAUCGCCACAAUCCGCGACCCUAGCCACACAAGCUGCCCUUGGUUCUAGCCAAGUCAAGCAGCUUAAAGCAGUGGUCCCUGCCACAAUACCUCCUCGGCCUAUGUCGAGCCGACUCCUGGCCCAUGCCAGCCGACAUGCUGCACCACCCCGACGGCUGCCCCGUGGUAGCACCAUCCAAGAAGAAGACAUGGAAAAUUAAUUUUUUCUUACCUCAGUGCGGCACGAAAAAGACAAAGAAAUCAACGAAAGAUGGUCUUUUGCACGGGCAAGAUGUAGAAGAUUGCUAGAGGAGGGGGAACAAAUAUCCUCUAAGUUAUCUCUCUCUUGUAGGGUAGAAUAAAUCGCUCUCCAAAGUUGAUUUAAUAACCCACUUAAGGUGGACUUAAAUAGGCUUUGAGAGAAAUUUAUUUCCCUUUCCUAGAAGGAUCUAAUUUCCUAUUAAAGAGAGAAUCUACAUCAAAAUAGGAAGCAGUCUUAAGUUUCCUAAAGCAAGAAGAUCUCUACACCUGCUGCCCUUUUCUACAAGCAGCCCAACAGGUGUGGGGGCAUUUGUGGAGCCAAAAAUAAUCACAAGGUAACACGUGGAUUUUUAGGUAAAAGGACAAAAAUACCCUUAAGGUGUACCAAAUUUCUACGCACGAGCAGUAGACAAUCAUCCUCAACCAAUUCAAAAAUGCUCCAAAAAAGGUAACCAAUUCCAAAUUAUCUCAUCCAUCCUCAUUUUAGGUAAUUACUUCAUAACCUAUAAAUUGUUCCAUAUAAAUAGAGAUUAAUUGGCUAAUUAAUGAAAUUCAUUAAUCAACCAAUUAAAUCACCAAUCACACCCAAAAAAUGCCUCUUUUGGCCAGUUACCCACUCCCCCAAAGGAACCGGCCAUCUCCUUUUAUUUCCUACCUUUUCUACCAUAUCUUUCCUUUUUAUGAUAAUAAUUAACUAAGAUAAAUAGGGAAUUGUUAGCUAAUUAUUUCAUAAAAUCCCAAUUACCACAAAAUAUCCCCAAAUAUGCACUAAAUGGCCAGCCAUCUAUUGCUAGAAAACGAAUUGGCCAUACUUUGCUUAUUCAUCCCAUUAAUUAGCUAAUUCAUUUGGUAAUAAUCCUUUUGCCAAAUUAAUUAGUCAAUUAAUCACAUAACUCCCAAAAUCAUAUUAAAUCAAGAACCCUAUCCCUAUAAAUAGGCUCCUAUUUUCACCAAAAACUAAGGCCAACACUUUGGCAAAAAUCCCAAAAUUAUCUACACACUCUUUCUCUCUAAAUUCUAACUUUGGCAUCGGAGGUUCUUCGGCCAAAGCCCCCCCAUUGAUCGUGAGCACGUGAGGCUCUUGGUCUUAACCUAAGGUGUUAAUUGUUUCGUAGGUGCAAAAUUAUCCAAGAUCAAAGAGGAAGAAAUUUGCAUCCACAACCAUGGCAACCCACAAAAUGGCCGCCGGGGGGGGGGGGGAGGGAGGUGGGGGAAGAGAAUCUGUGAAGGGAAGAGAGAAAAAAAAAGACCUCGGGAAAGCCAAAAUUUGUGAAGAAAAAGAAAAAUAGUUCCAUUUUCCAUUAAGAGCUUUUUGGGUUUUCAUUUUUCUUUUUCUCAUUAACAUUAUCUCUAAAAUCGAAUUGGGAUAUUGGGGGAGGAAGUUGAGAUUUUUGGGUUUUCUUUUUUCUUUUCCUCGUUAGCAUUACUUAAAGUUAGCUGCAUCCUUUGUUUUUCUUGUUUUCAUACGUUUUGCUUCAUGAAUACUGUGAAUGGAAUGAUACAUUUGUAGGAAAAGGAGAGGAGAAAAGAACUCGUGGAGGAGGAGAAAACGGAAUGGCAGGGGUAUGAAGGCUAGGGGAGGAUGGGAAGGAAAGAUGAGCUAGAAGGGAGGAGAGAAGGGCUUCCGCCGGCACCAAGCCGUAGCAAGGGACCGGCGGCUAAGGAGGUUGCAGAUCUAGGGUUUUGGGCAAGAUAGAGGGCAUCGGCUGGAGAGAAAAGGGCUUUUCCCUACGAUCUACAUACGAAAAAGAGCAUAAUGUCAAGGGGAAAGGUUUUGUACCUUAGACUAGUUGUGGGAUGGCCGAAGUCCCCCGGGAUCUGGCUCGAAACUCACAGGGUUCGCCGGAGCUAGUUCUCGAUUUAUGGGCUUCACCUAACUCCACAGAGACGAGGGAGAGUGAGAGAGAGAGAGAGUCCACGGUGGUGGUGUGUAGGUGUGAGGAUGGGUGCGUGCGUGGGUGUACUGUCGGGGAGAGAGUCUGAGAAAGAGAUAGAGAGUGAAAGAGUGAGAGAGAAAAGUGACCUGAGAGAGUGAGAGAUCCGAGAGAGACUCGGGAAAGGAUUUCUGGGUUUGGGUUUUUCGGGGUUUUUUUUUAAUAAGGUUAAUAUUAUAAUAUUUUUAAUGUAUAAAAAAUUAUUUUUUUUAUCACGUGGCAGCCACAUCAGCACAAAUGUGGCAGCCACGUCAGCAUUUAAUAGACCAAUGAAUGGAAAAUGUAACGGAGGUAUUAUUUUGAAAUAAAAUAGUAGGUGAGGUAUGAAAGUGAAAUGUUUUAAGGAUGUUGUAUGAGGUUGUUAUAGACCUCAAACCUGAAGAGUUACUAUGUAAUUUACCCAUUAUUUUAUGUCAUGCUCGCUUUAUAUAAAUAGAUAAAUAGAUCUAAGAAUUGCGUGACAACUUAACUUUUUUUUUCUCUUUUAGUUAAUUUGUACAAAUUUUUCUGACAUUUGGUACUAGUGGAAGUGGAAUGCUGAAAUAAAAAGAAAAAGGCAAAGAAAUGCGAUGCAAGUUCAUUGAAUGCGAUGCACGCGUAAAUACCAACUUGAAAAACGACAUUAUUACUUUGAUUUCCAUACAUAAAAACAAUUUUUUUAUUUUUAUUAUAAAGCUUCUAUUAUGAUUAAGUACUAGUGAUAUGGCAUUUAUCAAGACUUAAUAAGUCCUGAUUAGUGCUGCUGAAACACGUUUAAUAAGCCUUAUUAAGUUCUUUCUCUGUGAGAAACCCACCAACGAUUUUGAUGCCAAAACAUUACAUGGUCUUAUCUAUUUUAAUGCCUAUUCGCUAAUCCAGUCGAAUUAGUGGUCUUGAAACUUGAAAUAGCAACAACAACAACAACAACAACAAAGCCUUUUCCCACUAAUUGGGGUCGGCUAUAUGAAUCCUAGAACGCCAUUGCGCUCGGUUUUGUGUCAUGUCUUCCGUUAGAUCCAAGUACUCAAGUCUUUUCUUAGGGUCUCUUUCAAAGUUUUCCUAGGUCUUCCUCUACCCCUUCGGCCCUAAACCUCUGUCCCGUAGUCACAUUUUCGAACCGGAGCGUCAGUAGGCCUUCUUUGCACAUGUCCAAACCACCGGAACCGAUUUUCUCUCAUAUUUCCUUCAAUUUUGGCUACUCCUACUUUACCUCGGAUAUCCUCAUUCCCAAUCUUAUCCUUUAUCGUGUGCCCAUACAUCCCACGAAGCAUCCUCAUCUCCGCUACACCCAUUUUGUGUACGUGUUAAUGCUUCACUGCCCAACAUUCUGUGCCAUACAACAUCGCUGGCCUUAUUGCCAUCGUAUAAAAUUUUCCCUUGAGCUUCAGUGGCCUACGACGGUCACACAACACGCCGGAUGCACUCUUACACUUCAUCCAUCCAGCUUGUAUUCUAUGGUUGAGAUCUCCAUCUAAUUCUCCGUUCUCUUGCAAGAUAGAUCCUAGGUAGCGAAAACGGUCACUUUUUGUGAUCUUCGCUAGAUUGCUCCGGUCAUUAGUGUGGAUAAGUAUAUAAAUGGAUAGAGAUAGGAAAGCAAACACAAGAUGUACGUGGUUCACCCAGAUUGGCUACGUCCACGGAAUAGAGGAGUUCUCAUUAAUUGUGAAGGGUUUACACAAGUACAUAGGUUCAAGCUCUCCUUUAGUGAGUACAAGUGAAUGAUUUAGUACAAAUGACAUUAGGAAAUAUUGUGGGAGAAUGAUCUCGUAACCACGAAACUUCUAAGUACCGGAGUGUGGUAUCGUCUUGACUUGCCUUAUCUGUCUCAUAGGUAGAUGUGGCAUCUUCUCUGGAAGUACUCUUCCUCCAUCCAGGGGUGGUAUCUGUAACUGGUGGAGAUGCACAAGGUAAUGUAUCAAUUUCACUUGAAGCUUACUUGUAGUUUCAGGCUUGGUCAAGCGCGAUACAAACCAUGUAGUAGGAGUCCCCCAAGUCGCCGGGCUAGGGGAUCUGCUGAAAGAGGGUGACAGACAAGGUAAGCAAUCAGAGCUCCGGCUGAUUGUUCACAUUCUCCCUAUCUUGCAGGCAGCAUGAAGGAUAAAGAGAAGAAAAAUGAGAAGAGAUGAUAUGGGAUACUUUUGCUUUUGAAGAAGUAACUUUCCACAGGCUUAUUCUUGAACCGGGCUGGAGGGUUUUCUGGUUUCCUCCAGAGUAUAAGGCCGACUGAAGAAUUUGAGGGUCAAAACAAGUCCAUCAAAUCUAGAGUACGUUCGACCCUGCUGAUAUGGGAUACUUUUUCUUUUGACAGAGUAGUGGAUGUAUCGGCACGUGUGCUGUUACGCUUGUCUCCACAUGCUUCCUUGUAUCCUUCUCACUUGCCCUAUCUGUUCCUCAGGCAGAUGCGUAUCUUCCCUGGAAGCAUAAGAUGUUGAAGAUGAGUACUCGAGAGCAAUGUCCAGGUAAGUAAUCAGUAAGGGGUUCCAGGCAGUCAGUUCAUGGCUGGAAGCUUGAUUCCAAGUGCUGAUUGAUUGCUCUCUUUCUCCUUGUCUUGCAGGUAAGAACAAGGCCAAAGGAAAAGACAGGGAAAAAGCAUGAUAUGGGAUACUCUUGCUUUUAACCCUGAUGAUAUGAGAUAUUCUUGCUCUAGUAUAGCUUGUUUACAGAGGUAUUAUCGGGGGGAAAGAAAGCUGAAUAUUUUGAAAGGCUUCGUUAGGAGUGCCAUCUCAGAUAAGAGAAAGGGUUGAGCAUUUUUGCAGGUCUGCCUGUCCAUUAGGGAUGGAGGUCGACAUAUAUAGGAGUCCCCCUAACAUCAAGUAAUAAUGCUAUUCCUUUACCCUGCUUGGUCAUAACAUAGUAGUGGGAGCUGCCAGCUUCACAUGUUUUAACUCUGUUAGAGCACUUUGAAAAAGUGGUCUGUGGUAUCUGGAAAGCUGAUGUUGCGUGUGAAGAUUACAGACAAGCUUUAUCCAAGGAGAUCCAGCUCUUGAAGUUGGGAAAGUGGUGCCUCUUCGGUUUUCGAACAAGCAAUCCUGUCGGGGAUCUGGCUCUCGAGAUUCGGAGAACGAUGCCUCUUCGAUUUUUGAGAAAACAAUCCUGCUGGGGGUCUGGCUCUCGAGAUUCGGAGAGCGGUGUCUCUUCGAUUUUUGAGAAAGUAAUCAUGUUGGGAGUCUGGCUCUCGAGAUUCGGAGGGCGGUGCCUCUUCGAUUUUGGAGCAAGCAAUCUUGUUGGGAGUGUUUUCUCGAAUGUGAGUAAAGGUUGGGCAUGUUUGCUAGUCUACCUUGCCACAAAGCACAGAGGUUGACACAGGGACUUUCCAAUUAUCCAGCAGUGGUACUGUUCCUUUACCUUCUCUUCGAUUUUUGAGAAAGUAAUCAUGUUGGGAGUCUGGCUCUCGAGAUUCGGAGGGCGGUGCCUCUUCGAUUUUGGAGCAAGCAAUCUUGUUGGGAGUGUUUUCUCGAAUGUGAGUAAAGGUUGGGCAUGUUUGCUAGUCUACCUUGCCACGAAGCACAGAGGUUGACACAGGGACUUUCCAAUUAUCCAGCAGUGGUACUGUUCCUUUACCUUCUCUUCGAUUUUUGAGAAAGUAAUCAUGUUGGGAGUCUGGCUCUCGAGAUUCGGAGGGCGGUGCCUCUUCGAUUUUGGAGCAAGCAAUCUUGUUGGGAGUGUUUUUCUCGAAUGUGAGUAAAGGUUGGGCAUGUUUGCUAGUCUACCUUGCCACGAAGCACAAAGGUUGACACACAGGGACUUUCCAAUUAUCCAGCAGUGGUACUGUUCCUUUACCCUUUCUUCGAUUUUUGAGAAAGUAAUCAUGUUGGGAGUCUGGCUCUCGAGAUUCGGAGGGCGGUGCCUCUUCGAUUUUGGAGCAAGCAAUCCUGUUGGGAGUGUUUUCUCGAAUGUGAGUAAAGGUUGGCAUGUUUGCUAGUCUACCUUGCCACGAAGCACAGAGGUUGACAUACCGGGACUUUCCAAUUAUCCAGCAGUGGUACUGUUCCUUUACCCUUGUGGGUAAUAAUAUGGUAGCUAGACCUUCAAAAUUUAUGUGUCUAAACUUUGUUAGUGUUGUUUCUUUGCAAUUCUUUUACCCUUCUUGGUCAGAGCGAUGUAGCGGGAGUUGCAAGCUUCACGUGUCUCAACUUUGUCAGAGAACUUUGGCAAAGUUAUCUGUGGUACCCAUGAGUUACUGUUGCGUAUGGGAAGUGGGUGAUUGAACAGUACGAUUCAUGUGCUUUCUACUUCGCCAGAAAUCUUCGACAGAAUGCCCAUAAUUUCCGCAAAGCUGAGUGUGCGUGUGACAGGUGCUGACAAGGCUGGAAAAGUAGGUGCCUCUUCGAUUUCUGAGAUCAGCCUUCGUGGUCUCUUAGCAGCCCAGCUUUUGAGAAAGCAAGCCUCUUCGAUUUCUGAGAUCGGCCUUCGUGGUCUUUGAACAGCCCAACUUUUGAGAAAGCAAACGCCUCUUCGAUUUCUAAGAUCAACCCUCGUGGUCUCUGAGCAGCCCAGCUUUUGAGAAAGCAAACGCCUCUUCGAUUUCUGAGCAGGCGCCUCUUCGAUUUCUGAAGCUUCGUCGAGUGCAGAUUUUUAUAGGGGCUGACAUUAAGUUCCAAAGCACACUUGAAUAUCCACCAGUAGAAGCUCCAUUCUUGCACUUCUAAGAUCUUGAUUUGUCCGACCUCUUCUCUCUUCAACACUUUUGAAAAUGUCUGGCCCCUCUGACCGUCGUUUUGACUUGAACCUUGUUGAAGAGGCAGCCCCGCCUUCUCCAGACAACAUAUGGCGCCCAUCCUUCGUCUCCCCUACUGGUCCUCUUACCGUUGGGGAUUCCGUGAUGAAGAAUGAUAUGACCGCUGCGGUGGUCAGGAACCUUCUCACUCCCAAAGAUAACAGACUACUUUCCAAACGGUCUGAUGAGUUGGCUGUUAAGGAUUCUCUGGCUCUCAGUGUUCAGCGUGCAGGUUCUGUGUCUAACAUGGCCCAACGCCUAUUUGCUCGAACCUGCCAAGUUGAAUCAUUGGCGGGUGAAGUGAUGAGUCUCAAACAGGAGAUUAGAGGGCUCAAGCAUGAGAAUAAAUAGUUGCACCGGCUCGCACAUGACUAUGCUACAAACAUGAAGAGGAAGCUUGACCAGAUGAAGGAAUCUGAUGGUCAGGUUUUACUUGAUCAUCAGAGAUUUGUGGGUUUGUUCCAAAGGCAUUUAUUGCCUUCGUCUUCUGGGGCUGUACCGCGUAAUGAAGCUCCAAAUGAUCAAUCUCUGAUGCCUCCUCCUUCUAGGGUUUUGUCCAGUACUGAGGCUCCGAAUGAUCCCCCUCCGGUGCCUUCUCUUUCUGGGGCUUUACCGACUGCUGAGACUUCUCCUAAGCAACCUUUGUGAAGGCUCCCUCUUGUUUGUUUAUUUUGACUCAAGUAUAUGUACAUAUUUGUAACUUAUCGGGGAUAUCAAUAAAUAAGCUUUCCUUCAUUUCAACGUAUUGUGUUAAAUACACCAAAGCCUUCUUCGCUAAGUUCUUUGAAUUUUCUUUUGUUGAAGCUUGUAUGUUGAAGCUUUGUGAGUGGAGCAUGUAGGUUGAGGUAGUGUUCCCUUAAUUUCCUGAGUGAGGAAAACUUCUCGGUUGGAGACUUGGAAAAUCCAAGUCACUGAGUGGGAUCGGCUAUAUGAAUCUUAGAACGCCAUUGUGUUCUGUCCUGUGUCAUGUCCUCCGUUAGAUCCAAGUACUCUAAGUCUUUUCUUAGGGUCUCUUCCAAAGUUUUCUUAGGUCUUCCUCUACCCCUUCGGCCCUGAACCUCUGUCCUAUUAGGAUUUUUAUUGUAACCUAAGUCCUAUGCAAUAAAUAGGACCUUGGGGUUAGCAUAUUUAGUGUGGCUCAUUCGUGUGGCAAUUUGUGAGUUUGUGAGUUAGAGAGCAAUUUGGGAGAAUCUUCUCCGUUAGUUUUGGUUUAGGGUUUGUAAUUUGUGAGAUUUGGGUUGUGAGAGUUUAAACACUUUUGUAAUCUCCAUUUGUUUAGUGAAAUUUCUCGCCGUGCUUCGCUCGUGGACGUAGGCUUUACGCCGAACCACGUAAAUCUCUUGUGUUAGUUUGAGAUUGUUUGUUUUGACUUUCACCUACAACGUUGAUAUUGAUACUUUGUUAGAACUCGCUUCCGUUUGCGCAUAAAAGUACAACACAUUUAUUAUGCUCAUUGCCUCACCCACUAUUUUUUGCCCAAUGCCCAUCCUAAUUUCUUACUUAUCAAUUACAUAAUACAUAAUAAUGUUGACAUAAAGUUAAAAUUAAAAUAAGAUAAAGAGUAGGAAUGUACGCUAUUCUCGAAAAAAUGCCUCACUUGCAUUUGCAGCAAACGACGGUUCUUUGAGCACCAUUCUGUGCAUUCUCUGUUCCAGGUACAUUCUAAGUUUAAUUUCUAUACCACUACUGCUAUACUAGUGUGGGUUCAAUAUAUUGGUAUUGAACUCAUGAGACUCGUGAGUUCAAGAAAUUGGUAUCACACUCAACUUUUCCAACGCACUGUAAAAAUGUCAUCUUUGUAUAAGUUCAAUAUAUUAGUAUCCUUACUUUUUCCGGCCUACUGUGGGAGGCCUGAGGAUAAGAGAUUUUACACUCAUUAAUGCAACUAGGAAAAAGUAGGCAGUCAUCAUAAUAUUUGUUCCAGAAGAUAGACUUAUCCAUGUCAUGUUCCAUGCAAACUUCUAAAACUAUACGCCUUGUUAAUGUUUGAUUUAGUUUUGAUUGAUGUUGCAAAUACAAAUCAGUGAGAGUGAUUGAUUUGUGAGCUGAAGGAAGAAGAGGAGAGAGCAAAAUUGAAGACGUUGCUUCUAUGUAUAGGAUUCGAUUCUAACAGACGAGAGAGAGAGAGAGAGAGAGAGAGAGAGAGAGAGAGAGAGAGAGAGAGAGAGAGAGAGAGAGAGAGAGAUAGAGAGAGAGAGAGAGAGAGAGAGGAAGUAACUGUUCCAAUCCCACUAGCUCUAUUGACGAUAUGGGAGAGAGAGAGGAAUUAACUGUUCCAAUCCCACUAGCUCUAUUGACGACAUGUACAACUGAACCAUCUCAUCUGCUAUAACAGAUGGCACUAAUCUAGCCUAUAGCUAGUUCUAGUUUCAGCACUUCAUUACAAAAUAAGAACCAAGAACACAAAAUACAGAAAUUGAACAAAGUGUAAUCAGCUUCAAAGCUUAAGUCCUAACACUUCCUUCCAAGCUUGUAGCUGAUUUCACACCAAUGAGAAAUUGUUCCCACUACAAGGCCAGACUCACUGUCACUUCCAUCCGUCUUGCACAAUUUCUCAUUUACUGGAAGUGGAGUUGCCACUAACGUAGCCUUAUAGCCCAAAUAUCUCAAGUAACUUUAUUGCAUAUUUCUUUUGGUGAAUGAUGAUGCUCAUUUCAGUUUGAACAACUCUCGUUCCCAAAAAGUGGUAUAAUAAUCUCAAAUCAGUCAUUUCAUAAUAUUGCAUCAUAUCACUCUUGAAUUCUUCAAGCAUUGUUGGAAAACUACCAAUAUAAACAAUGUCAUCAACAUACGAAGAGAUAGUGAUUGUAACUAAGCUUUCAUUUGAUUUGGUGUAAAGAGUAGCUUCAUUAGGACUUUUUUAGAACCCAGCCUUGGUAAAAUAAGAAUAUAUCAAAUAUAACAACACCAUAUAUUUGGUAAUAUUUGUGAAGUGAGAAAUUACGUUAGGCUAUAGUCAACAAAAAUCUGUAGAGAAAGUGAACUGCUGAAAUAAGAGGAAAAAGGUAGAGGAAAGAGAUGCAAGUUCAUUGAAUGAGAAGCAAGCACACAAGAAAAUGCACACAUAAGAACCAAUAAAUAUGUUGUAGGCAUAAUUUACUAAGCAAUUAUAGAGGCCAGAAAGAGAAAGAGGGUGAGGCAUAGAGAGAGAGAAGAAAGAGAUGUGUAAUUGUGAGGUGUGUGUUAUUCCAUCCCAUUGUGCCUUUAUUUAUAGUAGUAGAGAAGGUUAAUUCCUUAUCCUAAUAGGAUUACAACCCUAAUAGGAUAAUAUAUAGUCUAAGAGAUAUGGUAGAAUCCCAUAAGGAUAUCCUAGAUAUGUUAAGAUUUACACAAUCACAUUCAUUAUCUAAUAGGACUACAACACUCCCACUUGAGUGUGUAAAUACUCAAACAAAUAGCGCAUUAGUUCUUCAGCGAUGAAGCAAGUAUAGUGAUGAAGUGUUUGGCACAAUGAGCGAAUGCGAGUCUCAAAUUAACGGAAGAAUGCAUAAAAGGUAAAACUCACAAACCCUCGCUGUGGUAAAACCCAAGGUGGGAGAAAAACCCAUAAACUAAGGAGAAAAGUGAGAAGUUGCAUUAAGUCAAAAUUAUACAUCUUAUGGACGCAAGUACUUUCAGAAUAGCGAAAAAACAUCUUUAAUACCAAUUCAGUGGUUACGUGUAGGCAUAGUGCUGCAGCUAUACUAAUAGAUCAACAGCGAAUGAGAUGUCCUUUCUAAUUGCAAUCAACAGCGAAUGAGAUGUCAUUUCUAAUUGCAAUGAACUAAGUACAACAAGCGCAAAGUUGAACUCAAAUAUGGAACUUCGGAUUCCAUAACCUCUUAAAGGGUCUCAUUUGCAUAUAGCGUAUGGAAGAUUAUAGGUAUACUCAAAGGAAAAACCUUCGGGGUGUAGUUUAACUGGUAGACCAAAGUACCGUCAGAGCAACGCUUGAACUUUAAGUCAAGAUGAGUUUUCCCAAGAUCCUUCAUCUCAAAUUCCUUAUUCAGGUGUGAGAUAGUUUUCUCAAGCUCUUCCAGAGUCUUAGUGAGAUUCAUGUCAUUUGACGUAAACUGUAACUCUAGCAAUACAGAAUAAGACUUCAUAGUUUAACACGCAAGGGCUUACUUCAUAUCCUUAACUGAUCAAAUAAUCACUUAGACGGGUAUACCACAUCCGCCAAAUUGUUUUAAUCUGUAAGUGAACGCCUCAAACAAGUUGAGAGGGUGUUUCGUGGUUUGGAACUAUUUGAACCAGUCCAUGCAAUUCUUCGAGAACUUACAUGUAAAUCUCCGUAUCAAUAUCCCCCAUGGAAAAACACUAACCACAUUUCAUAAUGCUGCUGUCAAUCACAUGGGUUUGAGAAAAACCUUGUGCCGUAAAAUGUGCAUCAUAUCGCACUAUUUCAUUCAUCUCAUUAAACUUUCUUUCCCACUUGUAACACAACAAGUUUACCUUGGGCAGUACAGGAAUGAUAGGUCCAAAACACACCUUGGUAAGGAAUUUAACCUGGAUUGCAAUUUCGGUUGUCCAAUCAGUUAUACGUUGUCACUAAUCAACGAAACAUGGUUCGGUAUCUUUCAUUUAUAUCAACAACUACCAUAUAAGUGAAAACAUUAUCGAUGAUAAUUUCAUUUCAAUUCCAUUUUCUCAUCUAAACUAGUAUACUGGACCAAGAACUUCAAGUCUCAGGAGUAAUUCGGAUAAAUCUCAUGAGAUGUAAAUCAUUUGAGAUAACGAUCAAGUAUAGAUUCAUUUAGUGUCAUAUCUUCCUCUUCUAGGGAAAUGAAUCUGAUGAUUGAGUGAUUAGUCAUGCUCCAGGCCAAGACAGAUUGAUUGGCUAUCUGCCGGUGUACCGGACUGUCCAACAUGGAUGGCCAAACCGUCCAACAAGGACGUCACACCCUUCGGGAAUGUUGACUCAACAUCCAUUUAAGUACCUCUAUCCUUGCAGGCAUGUUUGCAGCUAGUAUAUGAUCUCGUCACUUUAGCUAGAUCAGAGAAAUGUGUCUGGAGCAAUAUUAUGAAAGCUAGAAUUCAUUGCACUUGCUUAUCACACUUGUGUGGUACGAGGAUUGAGAUUAGGCAUAAUGGGUAACGUCCAAGCAAAUUUGCACCGUUCUACAAGAACGUUAACGUUCUUAUCUCCCCCUAACGGUGAGAAGACUGUCUCAUUGAAGUGAAAAUCCGCAAAUGAACAAUCAAGAGAUCGUUUACAAGGGCUCUAAGAGAGCUAAGGUGAAGGAAAAUCUUAAUCGACAAAGAUUCACAUUCUACUUUAAUGACCCAUGUUGGUACGUUGCGACGACUCAACUUGGCACAUGGAAUGCACACCCAAAUGCGUAAAUACGAAGAGUUAGGUUCGUACCCAGUAACCAACUGUGACGUCAAAUAAGUUGGGUGGCAAGGGGCCUCAAGGCAGACCAACAUAGCUGCGUACAAGAUUGCAUAGCCUUUGGCAGAAAUCGAAAACUUAGUGCGAUCAAUUAAAUUGCGCUUUAUAAUUGCUCUACGAAGAUGUUUUAGGGUGAAUAUAGGAAUUCGAUGUUCAAUUAUAAGCCCAAUAGACAUGCAAUACUUUAUCAAAAAAUCGUCGAUAUAAACUCUUCCGCAUUAUCCAGUCUCCCAGACUUUAUGGGAUAAGUAGGGUGGUGAACCCUUAAAAUUGGCCAGGAGGUUUAGCAGCAAUGUGCAUUGAUAAACAUGUGACAAGUUUGUUGAUUGAUUAACCAGAACCAUAAAUAUUUAUAUGGUUAGCAUUUUGGUUGGAUUAGUCCACAUAUAUUCCCUUGAAUCCAUUGUGAAAAGAGGGCCAUUUUCGUGUUUUUGCUAAGGAAGAUUAGCAAAUCAAUUUCCCAAACGAGUAGGCUUGACAAAGUGUGCAUGUAAGCACAAGAUCUUUACUUCGGGUAAGAAGAUGUGUCGUGGCAUCACUGUUCGACUUAAGUGUCCCAAAUCGUCGUGCCAAAGCAAAUGAACUGCUUGAAUCACCCGGCUGCAGGCCGGUCACAUGUGGCGUGUUCCUAGUAAGGAGACAGUGCUCUUCAGGCUCAUCUUUGGAGAUGGUGCAAAGAUUUUAAAUAUUCUUAAAACUCAAUGAUGUUCGUCCGAAACAGGAAGAAUAUAAGGUCUCUGACAUGGUAAUUUAGUACCAUUCAUACAACGAGGACCAUGCCAAUGCUCUUAAUCAGGUUGGAUAGAUCUAAAAUCAUUGUUAGAGAUGUGAUUUAGGUGUAAAGUUAGUGUGCGUAGUAUCGCAUUCAUCGAGACAACUAACUUUCUCACGUUCGUACCUAAUCACGUGUUUAAUUGAAUUCGGUCACAUGUAUACAAGAAACAUGAUUCAAUUAACUCAUUUUCGAGGACAAGAUCGAUAAGAUUAUCCAUAACUAAAACAAACACCAAAUGUGAAUCCAAGAACAUAAAAAUGUUCAUAAAGUAAACAAAAGUUACUAGGGGGAUUUGGCCAACAAGGCCAUCCAUGUCAAAAUUCUGAUUUUCCAACGAUGUUUGUUGGAGCAAAAUUAGUCUCACAUAUUGACUACUAGAAUGGUACUCCUCAACAACAUUGGUAGUGGCACAAACAGGUGCAUAACCAAUGAUCUAUUCUAUUGAGAUGGAAGUAGAUUCUGUAGGGUUGAGGUUUAUAAAUAUUAUCCCUUCUUCUUGAAGUUUUAGGUCUUAGGUACCAAUGAUCACGCUUCAGGCAUGAUGUCAUACGUUAGCUAGCCCUAAUCCUACCAUAAGUUGUAAAAACAAACUUGAAAUUGGAUUGUGAGAGAGACAGAGCCAGACUUGGGUUCAGUAGGCUCCAGCGGAAGCUUGAGGGGUUUGUUCGGUAUGCCUCUGCCGAAGCAGAGCAAUACAGUUCGAUGCAUCUUUGCCGAAGCAAAGCAUGCCUCUUCGGUGCAUCCUUGCCGAAGUAGGGUAUCACCAUUUGGUAGGCUUUGACUGAACUGGGUUUAUACCAUUUGGUAGACUCCAGCCGAAGCUGGGCUUGUCCCGUGUGUUGAGCUCGACCCAAAAAAGCCAGCAGCCUUGCUGCUGGGCUUUCUAUUUCUCGGCCCAUGGCCUACAACCAUGUUUGGGUUGCUUUGCAACAACCUUGAGGCCUACAUGCGUUUAGGGCUUUGCCCUACUCACGGAACCUAAGCCCAAUUCUAUUAGGCUAUGGUUUUUCGAAUCCAAUGCUAUUUUUUUGGCAUUUUAAAUAAUUUUAACCCGAAUGUUAUUAUUAUUUUUGCUUCUACGAUCGAUCUUGUAUGGUCCGAUCUAUUGAAUUAAUUAAAGUAACCUGCAGUCCAUUAUCUGACAAUUAAUCUAAAAUUAUUGGCCUGAAGUCCACUUUUUGGCAUUAACGAUUCAAUAAAUUAUUUCGCUUCUUUGGACCGUUGACUAUCUUUCGUAGUCCUGAAACACUCACACUUGGAUUCCUGAAGCAAUCCAUAAAUUCACUACACUUUAUUGUAUAUUGUAUUCUUGCAGGUACCCCUAUAUGAACUAAAUGUUCAUAUAUAAAUCGAACAUGUAGUUUCGAAUUUAGUGCCUUUGAAAUCUGAAAUUUUCAUUCAAAACUUACCACAUGAAACCUAUAGCUUUCAUGCUUAAAUUAAACCAAUACAUGUCUAUAGAACCUGUAUGUUCUACAAUAUAUGUCUAUGGCUUUCUAUAUGACUAACCACAUUUUGGUGUACCCUCUGUUUUAGGGACAUGUCGAACUUGAACAAACACGAUUUCACCGCUUUGGAAGUCUUCAGAAGAAACUACCUGAAGUGGGUUUAAGACGUGAAGCUCCAUCUUAUUGCAAAGGGUUUUAGAGCUACGAUCGAGGAACCUAUCAACGAUGAACUCAUCGAUGAAGCUCAGAAAGCUACUGUUAUGAUCUUUAUUUGAAGACGCAUUCAUGAUGCACUGUAGACUGAGUACCUCGCAGAGGAGGAUCCAUGUACCCUCUGGCUCGCUCUGACGGAUCAUUUUGAUCACAAGAAAGACAUCUACUUGCCUAAAGUAAGACACGACUGGCAGCAUUUACGCUUCCAAGACUUCAAGUCUAUGAAUGAAUUUAACUCUAAAGUUUGUAAAUCUGAUCACUGCUUAAGUUUUUUAAAGAGAACUUAACUGAACAAUAUCUCCUAGAAAAUACCUAUUCGAUCUUCAAUGCCACCAAUAUUGUCAUGUAGCAAUAAUAUAGGGCACAACAAUUCACCAAAUUUUCGGAUUUGAUUUGUUAUAUUUCUCGCUGAAAAGCAGAACCAGUUUUUGAUGAAGAAUCAUCAAGCUCAACCUACUAGCUCGAACGCUCCGCCUGAAGCACAUACGACUAAUUCUAGCAACCACAACCGACGGAAACCCCAUUGUGGCCAUGGUAAUGGGUGGAAAGGCCCACCACGGGCCCAAGGUCCACUGAAUAGAAGCCCAUCCAAGGGAGGAAAUUUGACCCAGAAGCGCAAACCCCUUGCCCCUAAGGCACCAAACUUUAAGAACAAGGGAAAAGCUAUUGUUUAAUCAAAUUCCACUAAACUGGACAUGUGCUACCGUUGUGGAUCAAAGGAUCAUGGGUCAUGCGUAUGCCGAGCUACCCCCAAGGUUAUUGCCAAGUAUCAUUCCCGUCGUGAGACUAACUUUGUGCAUGUGAAACAUCCCGAAUAUGCUACUACAACUCUGGAGGUUUCAGAUUUUCAAAAGGCAUCCUCUCAUAUGGAAGAAUAAAGUUUAUUUUUCAAGACAUGUUUUUAGGGUGUUUUACCCCUAGUGGCCAAAACCACUAGAAGUGGCCAAACCCACUAGGAGUGGCUGAAGCCCCCUCUUAAAUUUUGGUUUAUGGUUUAAUUGUUGGACAAUUUUUCUAAGUAUUUGAAAUUAUUUGUUUGGAUUGGUUUGUUUUGAACUAUGGAUAUUAUUUCUCGAUUUGAUUAAUUGAAUGAAUGGAAUUAUAUUUAUGCAUGUGACUGAUUCAAUUAAUUUAUUUCUAGGUAUAACUAGUGGGGAAGUUAGUUGUCUAGCUGAUAGUGCAACCACGCAUACCAUAUUACGUGAAACACUAGUUUACUAACUUCGUACCUAAGAAUGCACUUCUGACAACCCUCUCAAGCCCAUCCAACCUAAUAGAAAGAUACGGAAAUACCUGUAUAAUGUUAUCCAAUGGUACUGAAUUAAUCAUUAAAGAGGCACUCUAUUCUCCACAUUCCGAAAGAACGUUGUUGAGAUUUAGAGAUAUUCAAGAUAAUCAAUAUCAUAUUGAAACCACCGAAGAGAAUUGUUGUUAAUUUCUUUGUAUCACUUCUUACAAAUAUGGCUGAAAGCGUAUUCAUGAGAAGCUGGAACUUCUUUCGAGUGGGUUGUAUAUAACAACCAUUUGAGCACUUGAGACAUACCAUAUGGCCGGCCUUAUGGCUGGGUUCCAGGACACUCUCCUACUUUGGCAUGAAUGAAUGGGACAUCUCGAAUGAGAUAUGAUGCACCAUAUCCUAAAAGGAUCAUAUGGGCAUCGCUUAAAAUCUUAUCCAGACCGUUCACUUUGCAAAGCAUGCUCCAUGAGGAAGUUGAACAUUCAACCCUUAAUUACAAAGAUUAUUCACGACCCCUCAUAAAUUUCUUCAGAUGAUUCAAGGGGAUAUUUGUGGAUCUAUCCAACUAACAUGCGGACCAUUUAGAUAUUUCAUGGUGUUGGUUGAUGCAUCUACACGAUGGUCACAUGUUUGCUUAUUGUCCACACACAAUACUGCAUUUGUGAAACUCUUAACACAAAUUAUCAAGCUUAGGGCUCACCACCCUAAUUAUUCGAUCAAAUCGAUUGGACUAGAUAAUGCUAAAGAGUUUACGUCACAGACUUUUGACGAUUAUUGUAUGUCUGUUGGGAUUGAAGUUGAACAUCUUGUACCUCAUGUUCAUACCCAAAACGACCUGGCAGAAACUUUCAUAAAUCGCCUUCAAACGAUAGGUCGGACUUUGGUUAUGAGAACCAACUUGCCGAUAUCUGCCUGCUGCCAUAUUGCACUCAACUAUGUUGGUCCGCCUGAGGCCCACUGCUACCUAACCUCAUUCACUAUUACAGUUGGUUACUAGAUACGAGCCUAACGUCUCAUAUUUACAUGUGUUUGGGUGCACAUUCUAUGUGCCAAUAACAUCGCCACUACAUACCAAAAUGGGUCCUCAAAAAAAAAUGGAAAUCUAUAUUGGUUAUGAUUUGCCAGCAAUUAUUCAUUACUUAGAGUCCUUGACAAACGAUUUAUUUACCCCAUGUUUUACAGAUUGUCAAUUCGAUGAGACAGUCUUCCUGUCGUUAGAGGGAGACAAUAUCACUAACGUUCAUAUAGAACACCAUGAAUUGUCGUGGAUUACUCCCACUAUGUCUCAAGCAGAUCCUCGCACCCCUUAGUUUGAAACUGAAGUACCACGCAUUUUAGAUCUUCAGAACAUUUCUCAAAGAAUGCCGGAUGCUUUUACUGAUCUAACAAAGGUGACGAGAUCAUAUAUACCCACUGCAAACACACCUGCAAGAUAAAUGUACUUAAUAUACGUCGUAUGACCAUCGUGGAAGGCCGAACCGACCCCGAGGGUGGGGCAACUGCACCUCCCACACGGCAUGGUACACUAGCGACUAGCCAAUCAUCUACUCUAACCCUGAGGCAUGGCAAACCUCCUAGUUCAAAGGAUUUACAACUCUGGAAGAAGAAAACGACACAAACUAGUGAACCUAGUUUGAAUCCGACCAUUGCUUACUCAUUUAUUCCAACGUAUGAGGUUAUUCUAGAUUACAUAGUUUUGGAUGAGGUUUGAAAUCGGAAUGAGAUGAUUGUCGAUGAUGCAUUGGCGUAUACAGUUACUUCGGACAUCAUGCUUAGCAAUGAUAUUGAACCAUGUUCCUUUAAUGAAUGUCGACGUAGAACGGAUUGGUCAAACUAGAAACAAGUAAUCCAGGUCGAACUCGAUUUGCUUGCGAAAUGUAAGAUGUUUGGGAUUCUAGCUCAUACUCCACCACAUGUGAAGCCCGUGGGCUACAAGUGGGUUUUUGUAAGGAAGCGUAAUGAGAAUAAUGAAAUAGUGAGAUACAAGGCAUGCCUCGUGGUGUAAGGCUUCUCUCAAUGCCCUAGGAUUGAUUACGAGGAGACAUAUUCCCCUAUAAUGGACGUCAAAACUUUCUGCUACCUUAUCAGUUUGGUAGUUUCUGAAAAACUGAAUAUGUAGAGUUCUAGACCACAGAACUUCCUCGAUUAGAUUGAGGAGAUCACUUUACGGAUUGAAACAAUCUGAGUGGAUGUGGUAUAACUGUCUGAGUGAAUAUUUGAUAAGUUAAGGUUAUGUGAACAACGAACUAUGCUCAUGUGUGUUCAUUAAGAAGUCACAUUCUGGAUUUACGAUCGUUGGAGUUUAUGUCGAUGACAUGAACCUCAUCAGAACUUCCGCAGAGCUUGGGAAAAUUGCCACGCACUUGAAAUCAGAAUUUAAGAUGAAAGAUCUUGGAAAAACUCGAUAUUGUAUCAGCCUGCAGAUCAAGCAUUAUUCGGAUAGAAUCCUAGUACAUCAAUUGAAUUACACCCAUAAGGUGUUGCGACGUUUUAAUGAGAAUAAAGCGAAGCUUUCAAGUACUCCUAUGGUUGUUCGGACAUUAGAUGCUAAACGAGAUCCCUUCCGUCCCAAGGAAGAUGAGGAAGAGAUUUUGGAGCCUAGAGUUCCAUACCUAAGUGCAAUUAGUGCUUUAUUGUACUUGGCUCAAUGCACUAGACUUGACAUUUCCUUCGUUAUUAAUCUUUUGGCUAGAUACAGCAACGCGCCUACACGCAGACACUGGAAUGGUGUUAAAGACGUACCUUAAGGGUACGAUAGAUUUGGGCUUGUUCUACACCCAUGAAACUUCGAGAUGAGUCAUCACCCCCCUUAGUUCUCGGGUUUAUUCUCGCAUCGUUGGUUACGCAAAUACUAGUUAACUGUCUGACCCACAUAGAGCACGUUCUCAAACAAGUUAUGUCUUUACCAUUGAAGACACUGCUAUCUUGGAGGUCUACCAAGCAAGGACUUCUUCGAACCAUGUUGAGAUUCUUGCCCUGUAUGAAGCCUCGCGAGAGUGCUUUUGGUUGAAAGCAGUUAUGGAACAUAUUCGAAGCACUAAUGGUCUUACUUCUGUCAUUGACCUUCCUAUGACGAUCUUUAAAGACAAUGCAACAUGUAUCGAGCAGUUAAAGAAGGAAUACAUCAAGGGAGAUAACAUCAAGCACAUAACGCCGAAGUUCUUUUACAGUAUUACUCUCACCAGCAACAACAGCAUCAGAACAUUAAAGUCAAGCAAAUCCAUUCCCAAGACAACUUGGUCGAUCUCUUCACCAAGUCAUUACCCCUAAGUCUACUUUUCAAAAGCUCUCCAAGAAAUCAGUAUGCGUAAAUUGUCUGAGUUGAAUUGCCUGUAGUUCUCUUAUUUGGAAGUAUGUCUAACUCAGUGGGAGUAUCUAGAAGCAUACUCACUUAAUCUUAAUGUACUCUUUUUCCUACGAUUAUGAGCAUUUUUCCCAUUGGGUUUUGCUACCUAAUGAGGUUUUGAUGAGGCAACCAUCCUGGGAUGACCAUACUCCGUUGAGUUCACUACUUUCUUCCUCUUUGACGUUUGCUUUAGACAUUAUGCAUACUUCUCACCUUUAGUCUAUGGGUUUUUGCCUACCUCAAGCGUUACCAUAGCGAGGUUUUGUGAGUUUUACUACCGAUGCAUACUUACUUUCUUAUAUUUGAGACUCGCAUUUACUCUUUGUGCCGACGACUUCGUCAACUGUUUUACCUCAUCUGCUGAAAAUCUGAUGCAAAGUUUUGUUUGAGUAUUUACACACUCAAGGGGGAGUAUCUUUGUAUAUUCCCUUUAGUAGUUUAAUUCCUAUUAGAGAUGUAAUCUUUUUAGGGUAAGGAUUCUACCUAUCCUACUACUAUAAAUAAAGGCAUAAGGGGGUGAUACAACACACGUCUCAAAAUUAUAUAUCUCUCAUCUCUCUAUUGAUGCCAACCCUUCUCCCUUUUUGUCAUAAAUACAGUUCAGUCAAAUAGGCCUACAACAUGAAUAAUAUUAUCUACAAUAAGGGAGAAGGGAUAGGCUUAGCCUCAUAACAGGCUAGCAAUAAUGUGGUUCAAAUUCGCUUUUACUAAGAAAAAAAACCUAAGACCUCUCACGUAAAAGUGAAAAGGAAUACCACUACACCGUAGUACUAAAUGGCGACUACACCUAGAUUUGAAUGCAUUCUUUGAAUCUUGUUAAAUACUACUUUGACUACACCAUGAUCGAACAAUUUGGAAAAAUAACCAAAAGGUAGACCAUGAAUAGAAUUUUAACCAACCAUCAUAAUUUCAUAUAAUUCUAACCAAAAUUUGAUGUAAAAAUACUUAAACACCCUUGUUCAGUUGGAACCUUGUCACGAUACUCCUUCAAUCUCUUCUUAAUAGAUGGUUGUAUCUGCACCCUUUCUGAUUCAUUCAAUGCUUUCCUCUCCUGAUCCCUCUGAGCAUGCAACUCCUUUUCUAUGACCAUCUAUUCAAUCUCAUCGUCGGUAAGAUUUAAAAAAACAAAAAAUUUCAAAGUGUUUUAAUUUUUUUUUUAAAUUUUAAUUAACUACACCCUGAUUUUAAAAUGUUUUAAAUUCUUUUAAAAUCCUAACGGCACAUAAUCAAACUCAAAUUUGAGAGGAUUUUAAAAGACUUUAUAUCUUGACUAUACCUCCUUAGACUUUAUUCUUUAAUUUCCAAACAUAACAAUUAUUUUUUUCUAUUACAAAGCUUAUGUUAUGCUACUAAUAAUACUACAGUCUAGUGGUAGACCUCUUCACUUGUAAAUGAGAGGUCUUAGGUUCGAUUCUCGUCAAAUGCAAAUUUGACCCGCAUUAUUACUAGCUCAUUGUGAGGCUAAGCCUACCCCCUCCUCCAAGGCCACCCCUCCCCUUUAGUAUAGAUAAUAUCAUUUGUGAAAAAGCUUAUGUUGUGCUUAACUAUUAGUGUAUGCCAUUUAUGUUAGAUCCCACAAUCCUUGGCCGGAAGUGUGCCGACGAAGACGUCCGGCCCUUAAGGGGGGUGAAUUGUUAGAUCCCACAUUACCUAGGGGAGUGGAUCCUCUAUGCUUUAAAUGUACAUGCCCACCUCCAUAUAACACGAAGCCUUUUGGGAGCUCACUAGCUUCGGAGUUAAUCGGAACUCUGAAGUUAAGCGAGUUUGGGCGAGAGCAAUCUUAGGAUGCGUGACCCAUUGGGAAGUUCUUGUCUGAGCUCCCAGAAACAAAAACUAUGAGGGCGUGGCCGGGGCCCAAAGCGAACAAUAUUAUGUUGCAGCGGAGUCGAGACUGGGAUAUGACAAUUUGGUAUCAUAACCAAUCCUUGGCAGGAAGUGUGCCAAUGAGGACGUCGAGCCCCUAAGGGGAGUGGAUUGUUAGAACCCACAUCGCCCAAGGGAGUGGAUCAUCUAUGCCUUAAAUGUACAUGCCCACCUCCAUAUAGCACGAGGCCUUUUGGGAGCUCACUAACUUCAGGGUUCAUCGAAACUCUGAAGUUAAGUGAGUUCGCGCGAGAGCAAUCCUAGGAUGGGUGACCCACUGGGAAGUUCUCAUGUGAGUUCCUAGAAACAAAACCGUGAGGGCAUGGUCGGGGCCAAAAGCGGAUAAUAUCGUGCUACGACGAAGUUGAACCCAAGAUGUAGUAGAGCCCGGGUCGGGAUGUGACAAUUUGCCAAGAUUUAAAGUCAAUAAGUCCUGAUUAGUGCUAAUGAAACAUGGUUUAUAAGCCAUAUUAAGUCCUUUCUCUUUCAGAAACCCACCAACCCACCCUUUCGUGCCUAUUUGCUAAUGUAGUCAAAUCAGUGAACUUGCAAGCAGAAAAUCUGGCGGCUAAUAAUUUCAAUAUUGAUUUUACAUUUGAAAAGUUUUGAAGGAGUUUCUCAAAAUGUCCAAAUAAUUCAUUAGAGACGCUAGAUUUAUCUGAUUGUGGUAUGCAAAGCCAACUACUAGCCUCCUUAGGAUUAGGAAUGUUUUGCAUAAUCUCAACCUUAUGUACAAUAAUUUGUGGAGCUCAAUUCCAGAUUUCAUCGAAAACUUGUCAUCCUUGAUAACACUAGACCUCUCUUCUAAUAAUAUGAAGGGCUCCAUUCCACAAAGUAUUGGGCAACUCUCUCAGCUAGUUUCCCUCGAUCUUUUUGGUAAUUCAUGAGAAGGUAUUCUAACAAAAACCCAUUUCAUAAAUCUUACUAGAUUGCAAGAUUUUCAAAUAGGAGAUACAAAGGGACCAAUAUCUCUCUUGUAAGGACUAAUAAUGAUCUUGUCUAUAUCCAAUAUGAAAACAAGUAACACAAUGAUCAAUAUAAAAUCAAAAUAGUGGAUUAAGUACCACCUAAUCAUCUGUUUUCAUGAGGAUCGAACAGACCAUUAUCUUGGCUAUUCAUAAAUUAUAUGGUCACUCGCUGUUAAACGUGAUAUUGACGAUGAAGAAUAAAUGAAUAUUUUUUGUAAGAAAUAACUGCGAACAUGUGGUUGCAACGAACUCUCUUCCUUUGGGAGGGACAUGGCAUAAAACAAGAGCAGUGAUUGCGAUGGGCCUAUUGGAGUAACCAAGUCACCAAUGGCAAAGGAAAUGGGAAGCAGAAGAAGACAUAAACGUAGACGCCAGACGAGACUUAUUUGAGCACCAUCCCAUGAUCCCAUCAACAACGGACCGACCCAGCUCAGACAAGCGACUACACGUUUAACAGCUGCAUAAAUGCAUAUAAAUGCAUAUGCCCUUAUUGUUUUUCCUCCUAAUACAUUCUUAAAUCUACCAUAUAUAUGUGCUUGCUUGAUUGUUUUCUAUUGUUUUUCCUUUGUUUUCAUGAAAGCAAAACAGAAGCAAUUCAUUGUGAUAGCAGCCUAGGCCUCGUUUGGCAUGCGUAAUUGUGCUAUUUAAUUCGAAUCCGGAGGUUUGAUCCCACAUCUUAAAAACCUCCCCAUUUUUCUCUAAUUCACUCUUGUUAGCAUCGUGUGUGUAUGUGUGUGUGUGUAUAUAUAUAUAUAUAUUAUUGCUGAAUUCCUAUCCCAACACUGAAAUUUUGAUUGCAUUUUUGUAUUUUUGUUUUCUGUUUGGUAUUAAAUUUAUAGAGGCAGACAGGCAGAGGUGGCAGAGGAGGAGGUGAACACGAGCUAAUAAUAAUUUGGAAUAAUUGAUAAAAGAAAAGGAUGGAGCUUAAGCAGCUGUUCGUGACGGCCUUAAUUCCGGUGUUGAAAGUGCUUUCGAUAACAGCACUUGGCUCAUAUCUUGCUCUUGAUCGUGUCAAUAUUUUGGGGGAAGUUACUAGAAAGAACUUAAACACUGUAAAAACAAUACACUGCUUCUUCAUUCAGUCUCUUGUGCUCUAAACCCUCCCCAUUUAAUUUAAUUUCUCGUGUUGGACUGUUUUCUUACAAAUAUUUAUGUUUUGUGAACCAAUGAACGAACAGGUUGUAUUUUAUGUAUUCGGUCCUGCUCUGGUGAGUUCCAACGUUGCGCAGACAAUUACAUAUCAAAGCAUGGUUAAAAUGUGAGUUCUAAUUAAGUUGUUUAAUAUAUAUAUAUAUAUAUAUAUAUAUAUGUAUGUAUGUAUAUAAUCAUGUUAACGUUGUAAUAAUUAUAUUGUGUAUAGGUGGUUCAUGCCAGUGAAUAUCCUCAUCACAUUUAUAAUUGGUUCCAUACUCGGAUGUCUUCUCAUCCAAUUAACAAGGCCACCUGCCCAUCUGCGAGGCCUUGUCUUGGGUUGCUGUGCUGCAGGUAAUCCAACACCUAAUUCUAAAACACAGCUGAUAAAUAUUCGGUUUUGCGUUUUAUCAAUCUCCAGAUAUGCUGAUGUUAACACUUAAUAGGUAAUUUGGGUAUGAUGCUCCUCAUUAUAGUCCCAGCAGUCUGUAAAGAAAAAGGGAGCCCAUUUGGAGCUCCUGAUGUCUGUCACAUGUAUGCCAUGGGUUAUGCUUCGCUCUCAAUGGCGGUACAUUUCCUUCUCCGUCUUGUUCCAAUAUUUUGGUUUUCUUGAAAUUCCUUUAUCUAGCUUUCUAUGACUCGAAUUAAGAAAGGAUUGGGAAACUGCUUCAAAUAAGUUACAAUCCAAUUCUCUCAUUCAAGUCGAAAAUGCGCAGUUACUGCAAUUUGAACUCACGAUUUUAAUUUUUAUUAUUAUCAUCAUAAGUUUCAUCUCAUGUCUAGAACAUAUACAUACAAAUUGUACUACCCCCAAACGGCCAGGGCCAGUUCUUAAACGGUGUUUGUGUGCGCCUGCUUGCUGUGUAGAAUACGUUUUUCUGAACACAUUUUCUUUUGUCCUUCUUUUCCUCUUGAAUUCUGGUGACUGUUUCUCUUCAAUACAAUGUAGCUACCUUGUUCAGCUGUCAGGGAUUCCUAUCUUUGCCUUUUGUAAUGUAAUUGUGUCCAUGCUUCAGGUAGGAGACUUUUAUGUGUGGUCCUAUGUGUAUAAUAUUGUGCGGGUAUCUUCAAGAAGGGGCAACCAAGAUUAUAAUCAGUCCGCCGAGAGGUCCUCUACAUCCGACCAAGUAAGUUGCACUGAGCCUCUGCUAUCUUCAAAGGAAUGUCAUAGUUGAGGAAAAUCCGGAUCAAUAUGCACUGUCAUACACUGCUGUACCUGAAGAAAAAUCAAAGGUGUUGGAGUUUUGAGCCUCCUUUAGUCCCACAUCGGGGAACUCAAGUUCCCUAGAGGUCUUUAUUUUAGGUUAGUCACCUUUAUUAGUGAUUAGGUAUUAGACCAUUUGGAAUGAGAAUUGAGAUUUGGACCACUAAAUAUGUGGACUUGAUGAUUAUACCAUAAUAUUAAUAUAAUUAGUAUUAAUUGAUCAAGACAAGGCCCUUGGUAUUUGAAGAGCUAUGAAAUUUUGAAGAGUUGUGCGGUUUUAGAUACAUCCAAAAGGUAUUUGAAGAGUUAUGAAAUAGCCUACAUAACUAAAAACUCAGUUCCAUCGUAAAUCAUAUUUUUCAUUUCCUAUCUCUCCCAUACAAUAUUGAGAAAAGAAAACUAGAGUACACAACUCUAACAUAAAUGUUGGUUAGAGAGACAACACAAGUAAACAAAUUACUUGUAUUACACGCACAAAAUAUUACUUGAAUGUCAUUUGAAUAUAUGGUCUAGAUUCACAAGCUCACAUGUAACAUGCCGGACAUCUCCAACGAGAAAUUUACCCUGUUUCUUUUCAAUUUCUUACACUGCAUAUCUUUGUUGUUUUCCAUGGCAGGCAACGACUUCAGGUAAACUAGAGCAACGAAUAGUGAUGGUCUUUCAAAAGAUGAAUCUGAAAUCAAUAUUUGCCCCUUCAACUAUUGGAGCGGUAUGCCCUUUCUGCACUUUUCCGAUUAGAAGAUGCGACUAUGGGACAGAGGUUCAGGGCCGAAGGGGUAGAGGAAGACCUAGGAAAACUUUGGAAGAGACUCUAAGAAAAGACUUAGAGUACUUGGAUCUAACGGAGGACAUGACACAGGAUCGAGCACAAUGGCGUUCUAAGAUUCAUAUAGCCGAUCCCACUCAGUGACUUGGAUUUUCCAAGUCUCCAAUCGAGAAGUUUUCCUCACUCGGGAAAUUAAGGGAACACUACCCCAACCUACAUGCUCCACUCAGAAAGCUUCAACAUACAAGCUUCAACAAAAGAAAAUUCAAAGAACUUAGCGAAGAAGGCUUUGGUGUAUUUAACACAAUACGUUGAAAUGAAGGAAAGCUUAUUUAUUGAUAUCCCCGAUCAGCUACAAAUAUGUACAUAUACAUGAGUCAAAAUAAACACACACAAGACGGAGCCUUCACAAAGGUUGCUUAGGAGAAGUCUCAGCAGUCGGUAGAGCCCCAGAAAGAGAAGGCACCGGAGGGGGAUCAUUUGGAGCCUCAAUACUGGACAGAACCCUAGAAGGAGGAGGCAUCAGAGGUUGAUCAUUCGGAGCUUCAUUACGCGGUACAGCCCCAGAAGACGAAGGCAAUAAAUGCCUUUGGAACAAACCCACAAAUCUCUGAUGAUCAAGUAAAACCUGACCAUCAGUUUCCUUCAUCUGGUCAAGCUUCCUCUUCAUGUUUGUAGCAUAGUCAUGUGCGAGCCGGUGCAACUGUUUAUUCUCAUGCUUGAGCCCUCUAAUCUCCUGUUUGAGACUCAUCACUUCAGCCGCCAAGGAUUCAACUUGGCGGGUUCGAGCAAAUAGGCGUUGGGCCAUAUUAGACACAGAACCUGCACACUGAACACUGAGAGCCAGCGAAUCCUUAACAGCUAACUCAUCAGACCGUUUGGAAAGUAGUCUGUUAUCUUUGGGAGUGAGAAGGUUCCUGGCCACCACCGCAGCGGACAUAUCAUUCUUCAUCACGGAAUCCCCAACGGUAAGAGGACCAGUAGGAGAGACGAAGGAUGGGCGCCAUAUGUUGUCUGGAGAAGGCGGGGCUGCCUCUUCAACAAGGUUCAAGUCAAAACGACGGUCGGAGGGGCCAGACAUUUUCAAAGGUGUUGAAGAUAGAAGAGGUCGGACAAAUCAAGAUCUUAGAAGUGCAAGAAUGAAGCUUCUACUGGUGGAGAUUCAAGUGUGCUUUGGAACUUAAUGUCAGCCUCUAUAAAAAUCUGCACUCGACGGAGCUUCGGAAAUCGAAGAGGCGCCUGCUCAGAAAUCGAAGAGGCGUUUGCUUUCUCAAAAGCUGGGCUGCUUAGAGAUCACGAGGGUUGAUCUCAGAAAUCGAAGAGGCGUUUGCUUUCUCAAAAGUUGGGCUGCUCAAAGACCACGAAGGCCGAUCUCAGAAAUCGAAGAGGCGCUCGCUUUCUCAAAAGCUGGGCUCCCCAGAGACCACGAGGGCCGAUCUCAGAAAUCGAAGAGGCACCUACUUUUCCAGCCUUGUCAGCACCCGUCACACGCACACUCAGCUUUGCAGAAAUUAUGGGCAUUCUGUCGAAGACUUCUGGGGAAGUAGAAAACACAUGAAUCUUACUGUUCAAUCACCCACUUCCCACACGCAACAAUAGCUCAUGGGUACCACAGAUAACUUUGCCAAAGUUCUCUGCCAAAGUUGAGCACGUGAAGCUUGCAGCUCCCACUACAUCGCUCUGACCAAGAAAGGUAAAAGAAUAGCAAAGAAACAGCACUAACAAAGUUUAGACACAUAAAUUUUGAAGGUCUAGCUACCAUAUUAUUACCCACAAGGGUAAAGGAACAGUACCACUGCUGGAUAAUUGGAAAGUCCCUGUGUGUCAACCUCUGUGCUUCGUGGCAAUGUAGACUAGCAAACAUGCCCAACCUUUACUCACUUUCGAGAAAACACUCCCAACAAGAUUGCUUGCUCCAAAAUCGAAGAGGCACCGUCCUCCGAAUCUCGAGAGCCAGACUCCCAACAUGACUACUUUCUCAAAAGCGAAGAGAGGGUAAAGGAACAGUACCAUUGCUGGAUAAUUGGAAAGUCUCUGUGUGUCAACCUUUGUGCUUCGUGGCAAGGUAGACUAGCAAACAUGCCCAACCUUUACUCACAUUCGAGACAACACUCCCAACUGGAUUGCUUGCUCCAAAAUCGAAGAGGCACCGCUCUCCGAAUCUCGAGAGCCAGACUUCCAACAUGAUUACUUCCUCAAAAAUCGAAGAGACACUGCUCUACGAAUCUCGAGAGCCAGACCCCCAGCAUGAUUGCUUUCUCAAAAAUCGAAGAGGCAUCGUUCUCCGAAUCUCGAGAGCCAGAUACCACAGACCACUUUUUCAAAGUGCUCUGACAGAGUUAAAACAUGUGAAACUGGCAGCUCCCACUACCGUGCUAUGACCAAGCAGGGUAAAGGAAUAGCAUUACUACUUGUUGUUAGGGAGACUCCUAUAUAUGUCGACCUCCAUCCCCAACGGACAGGCAGACCUGCAAAAAUGCUCAACCCUUCAUCAUAUCUGAGAGGGCACUCCCAACGAAGCCUUUCGAAAUAUUCAGCUUUCUUUCCCCCCGAUAAUACCUCUGCAAACAAGCUAUACUAGAGCAAGAAUAUCUCAUAUCAUCAGGGUUAAAAGCAAGAGUAUCCCAUAUCAUGCUUUUUCCCUGUCUUUUCCUUUGGCCUUGUUUUUACCUGCAAGACAAGGAGAAAGAGAGCAAUCAGUCAGCACUUGGAUCAAGCUUCCAGCCAAGAACUGACUGCCUGGAACCCCUUACCUGAUUACUUACCUGGCAUUGCUCUCGAGUACUCAUCUUCAACAUCUUAUGUUUCCAGGGAAGAUUCCGCAUCUACUUGAGGAACAGAUAGGGCAAGUGCGAAGGAUACAAGGAAGCAUGUGGAGACAAGCGUAACAGCACACGUGCCGAUACACCCAUUACUCUGUCAAAAGCAAAAGUAUCCCAUAUCAGCAGGGUGGAACGUACUCUAGAUUUGAUGGACUUGUUUUGACCCUCAAAUUCUUCAGUCGGCCUUAUACUCUGGAGGAAACCAGAAAACCCUCCAGCUCAGUUCAAGAAUAAGCCUGUGGAAAGUUACUUCUUCAAAAGCAAAAGUAUCUCAUAUCAUCUCUUCUCAUUUUUCUUCUUUUUAUCCUUCAUGCUGCUGCAAGAUGGGGAGAAGGUGAACAAUCAGUCGGAGCUCUGAUUGCUUACCUUGUCUGUCACCUCUUUCAGCAGACCCCCUAGCUCGGCGACUUGGGAGACUCCUACUACAUGGUUUGUAUCGCGCUUGACCAAGCCUGAGACUACAAGUAAGCUUCAAGUGAAAUUGAUACAUUACCUUGUGCAUCUCCACCAGUUAAAGAUACCACCCCUGGAUGGAGGAAGAGUACUUCCAGAGAAGAUGCCACAUCUACCUAUGAGACAGAUAAGGCAAGUCAAGACGACAUCACACUCCGAUACUUAGAAGUUUCGUGAUUACGAGAUCAUUCUCCCACAAUAUUUCCUAAUGUCAUUUGUACUAAAUCAUUCACUUGUACUCACUAAAGGAAAGCUUGAACCUAUGUACUUGUGUAAACCCUUCACAAUUAAUGAGAACUCUUCUAUUCCGUGGACGUAGCCAAUCUGGGUGAACCACGUACAUCUUGUGUUUGCUUUCCUAUCUCUAUCCAUUUAUAUACUUAUCCACACUAAUGACCGGAGCAAUCUAGCGAAGAUCACAAAAAGCGACCGUUUUCGCUACCUAGGAUCUAUCUUGCAAGAGAACGGAGAAUUAGAUGGAGAUCUCAACCAUAGAAUACGAGCUGGAUGGAUGAAGUGUAAGAGUGCAUCUGGCAUGUUGUGUGACCGUCGUAGGUCACUGAAGCUCAAGGGAAAAUUUUAUAGGACGGCAAUAAGGCCAGCGAUGUUGUAUGGCACAGAAUGUUGGGCGGUGAAGCAUCAACACGUACACAAAAUGGGUGUAGCGGAGAUGAGGAUGCUUCGUGGGAUGUGUGGGCACACGAGAAAGGAUAAGAUUGGGAAUGAGGAUAUCCGAGGUAAAGUAGGAGUAGCCGAAAUUGUAGGAAAGAUGAGAGAAAAUCGGCUCCGAUGAUUUGGACAUGUGCAAAGAAGGCCGACUGACGCUCCGGUUCGAAGAUGUGACUACGGGACAGAGGUUCAGGGCCAAAGGGGUAGAGGAAGACCUAGGAAAACUUUGGAAGAGACUCUAAGAAAAGACUUAGAGUACUUGGAUCUAACGGAGGACAUGACACAAAACCGAGCGCAAUGGCGUUCUAGGAUUCAUAUAGCCGACCCCACUUAGUGGGAAAAGGCUUUGUUGUUGUUGUUGUUGUUGUUGUUGUUAAGCAAACUUGAUCUUUUCCUGGUGUAGCUCAUUGGUUUUGCAAUCGGAGUCAUCCCUCAGAUUCGAAAAUUACUUUUAGGAGAUGGUGCUCCUCUACGGGUGAUUCAAGAUACUGCUAAUUUGUUGGGGUAUAAAACUUAUGCCCGAACUGUAUCGAACCUUAAUGUUUUAUCCAUGAUCGACGCAAUUAUUGGCAACUAAUAUAGCUUCCCGUUCUUAAUACAGUUACAUGCUAGGGAAGAUACUAACCAUGCUUGGUCCUAUAGUUGUACAUAUCCAAAUGAACAAUUUGGUUCUCAAUUAGCAUAAAAGUAGAAUAAUUGUCUCGUGUUAAUCCCAACUUUACAAAACAUAUUCAGACCAGAUGGUUUUUGAAUUUCGGCUCAAAAGACGAGUGUGUUUUUUUAUACGAAGUGUUUGUAUCAUUUUUGUUGUUCACUUGGUAUCAGUUAAAGAGACUUGUUCUUUAUGAUUGCAGAGACGGAGCCAUCCCAUCUCUCAUUUUGAUAAUAGGAGGAAACCUACUUAAAGGUAAUAACUCGUACAAAUUCUAUUAGUGUCGUACUUAAUUGUUGGUUUAGUUCAGAACUUACUUCACAUUGUUGUUUCAGGCUUGCGAGGGUCAGGGAUUCAGAAAUCUCUUGUCGUUGGCAUCAUAGUUGUUCGUUAUGUUGCCCUGCCUCUUAUAGGCGUCUUGGUUGUUAAAGGGGCACUGAAAUUGGGUUGGUGCACUCUGAUCCAUUAUAUCUGUUUGUUCUUCUGCUUCAGUUUUCACUCCCACCUGCGAUGAACAUAGGUACGCUUGCUCUUCGACUGUUUGGCAACAAAAAGUGCAAUCAGAAGUUGCUCGCUCGCUCGCUCACACUUUUUCAUAACUAAUGUAAGUUUAUUCUCAAGUAUUGUUUAUUGAUCCUUUAAAAUAUGGCAGGAAUAAUGACGCUAUUAUUUGAAGCUGGAGAGAAUGAAUGUUCAGUUAUCAUGCUGUGGACUUAUGCUUUCGCUUCACUGUCAAUUACAUUCUGGUCCGCCGCCUUCAUGUGGCUUGUCGCGCGACUGUGAAUCAAAAUUUUACAUUGAAUUCUGUCUAAUUAAUACAAGAGUAGGCAAUUUGUCAGAAGAAAUAUUACGAAGCUCCACCCCGAGUCUGCAGGGAAGUACGAAGCUCUCAGUUCAGUUCCUCCCCGUCAUUGGAUUGAACAUGCAGAGCCACGGUUUGACUCCACAGCCCACCUAGAUGACGAAUCUAGUGGUUUGUGGCUAUGAUUUGGUCGAAGUAAAAAUGGUGGUGACUUUUCUUGGUGGUUUAGAGAGAAGGCAGAGAGAGAGCUCGAGUGUUAAGAACUCAAGAGAGAGUGUGUCUCGGUGUACAACGAGGGAAGGAGAUGGGAGUGACCGAGAGUUGGGAUUAAAACCCACUUAAAAUUUCCCUCUACAUAACAAAAACCAGUAGAGCCUUAAAUUACCAGAAAAGUGAUUAAUUCAUGUUGGAAUUUUUGGAUCGUCGGGGCCGCCCCACUCUAACGACACUGAUAUUAUCCCCAACUUAAUCAUUUGCCCAAUCCGUCAAGUGUGGGAUUUUACCACAAAAAACUUCGAUGUUAGUUAAAGUAGAGUAAUACUAUUUAAGUGAUUAAUUCUUGUUGAAAUUUUUGAAUCGUCGGGGCCGCCCCACCCUAACGACACUAAUAUUAUCUCCAACUUAAUCACUUGCCCAAUCCGUCAAGUAUGAGAUUUUACCAUAAAAAACCUCGAUGUUAGUUAAAAUAGAGUAAUACUAUUUAAACCUCUUUGGUUUAUUAGUUAGAGUGAGGUAAUUCUAUUUAAACUCUUUGGUUUUUCUUGCACCAUACCAAGUUGGAAUUUUUGGAUCGUCAGCCUGCUCCACUCUAAUGACACCGAUAUUAUCCUCAACUUAACAACUGCCUAAUCCGUCAUGAGAUUUUAGCAUAAAAACGAGUGGGGUAAUAAUAUUUAAACCUCUUUGGUUUUCCUUGCACCCACGAUGUGGGACUUUAACGAUUCAUGAAUUAAAAUUACUCAAAACUACAAUUUCAAGCCACUACAUUGCUACAAGCUUCAAAAAACCAGAAGAAAAAAAAAGGUAAAAUAAACAUCAAAAACCACUUCUAACCAAUAUAAUCACAGGUUGAAUGUUUCAACAACGCUAAAACACAGUAGGAUUAUAAAACAACAAUAUUUUUCAUAUAUUAAAAAAAAAAACAACUAUUAUUUAUUUAUUAAUUCCUAGCUCAACAAAAACUAAACUUUCGGGAAAAUGCAGAGUAAAAUAUAGGAAAGCUAACCUUUUGGCGCUUAGCUCUGGGUUCAUGAUCAAGCUUGGACCCUGGACCUUUGGAAGCCAUGGCUUCGGGUCGUCUGAUCCAGAAAACCAGUGGAUCUGGACAGUACGAUCAACGCCAGUGUGCUCUCUUCCCUUCCUGUAUCUCUCUCUCUCUUGCUCUUUUCUCUUUUCUUUUUGUGUUUUGUUUGUCUGUGACUGAGGACGCCCACCAACCUCUGAUGAAG